UUGUUUUGACUUAGUUUUUAUGUACACUGAAUCCAAAGCCGAAAGGGGUCAUCAGAUCAGUCCCCCCAAAAAAGAAAAGGUGACUACUCGUAGAAUGGCAAUGUCAAUGGCUCAGCGAGUCAUAGUAUUGGGUCCAGUCAUGGAGAAGUUUCUUUCUACACUGAAAUAAAACUAUGUUGUGCUUCUUCAUGAUGGGUCUUUGUCCUACUGCUUUGUAGGGGCUAAUCUAAAUUCCUCUAGUGGAAAACAGGUAGAAGGUAGACUGAAGGGGAAGGCCGCAUAGUCGUUUUCUCCAUAUUAACUAAUAUUUGCCAAUUGAUUGCCUAUGGCCCACUUAUAUAGCUGCAGUCUGGUUAUAGAAAUAACAAAAACAGUUAUUUCUAGAUCCCAAAACUGCUUUCACAUGGUCUUUUUGGUGUAAACCCAAAUUUGUGUUUUCCGGGUUCAGAUUUGUGUUCUCACCUUUGUUGGGGCAAGGCUGCUAUCACCUCAACUAACAACUUGUUGCUAUUGCAUUGACAUAAUCAACAGCAAACUAGUGCCAAUUUGGGUUUCAACUCAUAUACGCAAUAUGUCUCGUGCCUGUGCCAUGGCCCUUGAAUAACUUAUGUACAAGCACCAUUGGACUGCCUGUGUUCAAACUCUCAAGAAACUUUAAGCUUUUGACGUGUAAUUCCCAAUAGGAUGUUUCAUUUCAUGUCUCACAUACACACAUUAGGUCCUGCAAUUCUGAUUAAACAAUCUCAAUCUUAAUCUUAGCAUAACAUGAUUGAAACAAAGACCUCAGGACACAAAUCAUGGCAUCGGAGAGCGCAUAGAAUAUGCAUUCUGCCCUACUGUAACAUUCUCUAGACUGUUGUUAUUCAAAGCAACCACUUCGAUUCAGAGAAUAUUCAACCGAUGGUUAGUAUUCAAAAUGUGAAGAGGAAAAAGUGAUUAUAAAGAAAAGGAUACCAAAUCCUCAAGUUGCAACAUAAGGCUAUGACAAUAAUUCGUCAUGUACCAUGUCAUGGCAAAUACUAUUACUGGUAGUCCUAUCUUCAAUAUGUUUAUGUGCCAGUGUGUGCAUGUAAUUAUACACACACAUUAAUUGAAUACAUACUGUGUGAAGUCAGCAACUCAUCAGAUUAUGUCCUGUAACAAAUAAAUUAUUAAAGAAGUGUAAAUAAUUUCUCUUAUAUCCUUAGUUUAUAUCUAACACUGAAGAAAACUAAUAGAAGCAUAUUGGAUUAUCAGAAAGUACUUCUCAGUAUUUCUUUCCUACUUUAAAUGGUUCAGUUACAUGGUCAGCAAAACUGAAUUCAUCUGUAGCCAGAAAUACCAUCAAUGACAGGUGUACAUUGGCAUAAACAACAGUAAUUUAUGACAAAUGGAGCAAAUGGGUGGAAUAAUUGAACUAAAGAUAUUAGCAUGAACAUGCCAAUUCCUCAACGAUGACGAAGGGAACUAGAAGUCUGCACAACCAUCUACACAGAAAACUGUUUCUCAACAAUAUUUUCAUCUGAUUUCAAAAUAACUUCGGCAACAAUUCAAAAUGGUAAAAAGUAAAACCUCAUGUCACUAGAGUGCAAAGUCUUGGUUACCGGAUCACCCCAGUACUCUUUAUAUCUUUUAAUAGUUAGUCGCAAAUUACAAAAGCAUUCCACAAAAGGCUCCCUGGAGAACAACAUAUCAACCCUCAAAGGUUGUAAAUACCAAUUGUAUUUAACCACCAACAUCACUACAAAAUAUUUUCUUCAGAACAAUAUCUGAAUAAACCGUUGUCCAAUGGAGACAAUCAUGAUUCAAUUUUACGUCUUAAUUAACUCAGUUCUACCACAAACUAAGUUCCCAAAGUUUUCACCAAAAGGUCCCUAUGUUACAUUAGCAUGAAGCCAUGAACCUAGAAUAGUUAACAACAUAAAAUGUUUUCCAAAACUGGAAUUGAUCAUAAGUUGCUAGGAUAAGAUACAAGGUAGAAUUUGAUUGUUGCAGCUACAUGCAUCUAAUAUAAGCACAAAACUUACUUUGUGUGGUUUCAAUGCAAUUAUGAUGCCAGAAAUAUCAUGCUAGAAUGAGUUCUAUAGUACACUACAAAAGAUAGGGUCUUGAUCUCAAAGAACAUGCGUACUUCUUGCCUUUGAACCAUGAAAAGAUGUGCCACAACUGCAAAUAGCUUGUAAGCUCAAUAAGAGAUACUUAAAUUCCAAUAAAGAACGAAGUACUAAUUUCACAGCUGAAUACUUUGCACUCGUAUUGUUUAUCAUGCAAAUGCGGUCAAUCACGAUUAUUCUUCCACAACCAAAUUUCUUCUGAACCAUAAGAAUAACAUACAACAAAAAAAGAAACAUGUAGCUAAUUCUGCAGUUCAAUUGUGCAUCAAGGUUAUAUUCAUACCUCUACGGUGAUACUAAGAAGCAGUACUUACACAAGUAUGAGUUGACUUUGUCUGUUCAAAUUCUCAAAGUUAUUCAUUUCCAUUAUGAUUAAUCAACAAAUGAUAUGUUAACUAUUGCGAAUGCCAUAGUAAUAUGAAAACCAGUGCGAUUAUAAUGGAUGCCUCAAACAAUCCCCUUCUAAGUUUUGAUCCGCUGACACUGUUAGGGAGAAAAGAUUCAGUAUCAUCAUGCCAUCUCAUGGUACAGAGUAGUUACCGAAUUAGAUAUAACAAUAUUUUUUUCAUUUUGUUUUUCUUUUGUCCCUAUGAAUAAAAGGAUCAAUCAACAGAGGAAAAAGAUGUCAGCAUGGCUUGAAAAUGAAAAAAAAUUAAACACUAAAAACAGAACCUUGAGAUUAAGACCAUAUAUUGAAUCUUGUCAAUAAGUGACAUGUAAUCCUAAUCAAUCCAACACCAACCUCUCAAAUGUUAUAAAGCAAGAUAAGGAUUAUAAGGACCAACAGAAAGAGAUGAUUAGGUCCUCAUCCUCUCUGCAAGAAAACAGAUAAGUCGAGCGUCUGGAUUGCUUAAUCAAGGCCCUUAAUGCAAACAAAGUCCAGUGAACCUCAUCGAAGUCUUGAAACUGUAUUUCGCUCUCAAUGUACCUUUCAGUGAUACGGUUUUCUAAAACAACUAAAAAACCAAUUAAAAGAUAAAAAACAAUUCAACAUCUCUUUCCAAAGACAAGACCAUACUACUAACACCUGCUGAUAUCUCAAAGACAUGAUGAAUUAUUUUUCAAGCAUCAAACCAAAAAGGGUACUAAAAUAACAGAGAAAUCAAAGAAGAAAACAACAUAACCAAAGAAACAUGCUUCAAAGAACACAAUUCUUUUUCCUUUUUGUUUUUUGACUUUAUAUUUAAACUGCAAAUGUAAAGACUAUGAAUCAAUGUUUAACUAAAACAAGAAUUGCUAAGAAUAAGAGAAUAAUAAUGAUAACAAUACAUCAUACAGAAUAAUAAAACUUUCUUUUACCGACGCUCAAACAAGUAGUAACAGAGGAAUCUAAUCGGAAAAUAGUGAACUUUCCGAUUUCUUCUUCUUUUGCUGAUAAACCCCAUUUGCAUCAACGCCACAAUAUUCCUAGCCAUAGGAAUCUUCCAUUUUUUUUGAAUAAUUUAUUUAGAGCAAUCCCUUGCAAGAUGACCUUCUUCUCCACAAUUAAAACAUUGUCCUCCAGCUCGUCCUUCUCCCCGACCACUUCCACCACCGCCGCGGCCGUAUCUUUUACUUCCAUCAUCAUCUCCACGGCCACCACUGUAUAUCUUGCUCCCACCACCAUCUUGAUAACAAUCCCUCGCUAAAUGCCCCGUCUUCCCACAAUUAUAACACGCACCACCACCACCAUAACCGCCUCUCCUGUAACCGCCCCUACCACCUCUACCUCUUACACUACCCCGGCGAGAUCGGGAAAGAGGAGUCACAUCGACGGCCUUAGCACGACCAUCUUCGCCUAAAUCGAGGGAGAAUUCAACAGGCUGGUCAUCAGAGAGGGUGCGAAAGCCUUGGGAAAGAAUAGAAGUUUGAUGGACGAAAAGAUCAUCGCCGCCGUCAUCGGGGGUUAUGAAACCGAAACCUCUUCGGGCACUGAACCAUUUAACUGUGCCAAUGGAUUUCUCGGUGCUGGUGGCCUCAGCCAUUGGCUUCUAGAAGAUUCUAGACAAUUUACCAGAAAUUUCGGUUUUUUUAUUAUAAUUUUUUGGUCAGUGGAUUUUUGCCUUUCUGGACGCGCCAAGAAUAUUGGUGGCGGGUUUUCUUUUUCUGGGUUGUUGUGGGACCCGAUUGGUAGAUCGGAAGGUAGAAAUGUGAGGAUUGGAUUGGAUCUAACGGUUGAAAUUUUUUGGUGGUUUAUCCAUUUGGUGGGUAUUUGUUUGACUGGUUUAUUACCUUCAGCUUAACGUCUCAUUUAUUGACGUGAAAAAUUACGCGGCAAAAAUAUCAAAUUGAUGAACAUUUUUUUAGAUGAAAUUAUGAUUUUACAACUUAAAUUAAAUCAAGAAAGCGAAUUUCAUAUCAUUUAAAAAAUUAUAUUUAUUUUGGAUAAAAUAUUUUUACUGUUUUUAUUUAAUAGCAAAAUAAAUUUAUAUUUUUAAUAUGUUUAUUUUUGGCUAAUUAUAAAAAAAAAUACUAUUAAAUUUUAGAUUGUUAUUAUCAGGAAUGAAGUUACUGUGUUGAAUUCCAUCUCUUACAAAAAUGGGCUAAAUUGGAACAAAAAAUAAAGAGAAAGGCUUAAUUGAAAGAUUGAAGAUUUAAAUAUGACUGAAUAAAGAUUGAAAGGUUGAAUUUUUUUUUUCAAAAGUGGUUAGGUAAAGAUUAAAUGAUUUUUAAUAUUGUUACAACUCUGUGAUUACUUUAUAUUCUAGUUUAAAUUUGAUUUUUAAAUUUUGAAUUAUUUAGUAAUAAUAUUCAGGAAAAAUCUAGCUAAAUUUUAGCACUAAAAGUAUAUAUAAAUACCUAAUAGUUACAACUAAUUGAACAUAGUUUGGAAUUGAUAAAAAAAUUCCUUUAUUUGUCAAUCCAUUCUUCUUUUUACUUUCAACCCUUUUGGUUUAAUUAUCUUUUAAGGCUUUUUCCCUUUUCAUUUUCUAUAAUUCUAUUUAAACCAUUUAUUAUGAUUCUUUUAAUGAUUAGCUAAACCUUUUUUAGUAUUAGCUCGGAAAUUACUCCAACAAAAUAAUUAUGAGAUUCAAACCCACUAAAAAAACUCUACUUCUCUAUACUAUCAUUUACUGUUAUUUUAUUAUAAGAAUUUAUAUUUGGUGGUUUCGACGCCCAUCAUUAAUAUGUAUUUUUUAAACUUAAGUUUUUUAAGCAUAAUAAUAAAUCUAGUUAUUAAGGUUUGCAUUUUUUGUCUGUUUGAAUUUUUUAGUUAAAUUUGAUCUCAAUUUUUUAAAAAAAAUCAAAUCAUUUUUAACGAAAAUAAUAAUUAAAACAUUAAUUUUAAUUAUUUGAAUUAAAUUUCAUUUAAUUAAAAAUAUUAAAAUAAUUUGAUUAAUUAAAUAAAAGUAAUCAAGUUUACCCCCUCACAUUUGAUUAAUUAAACACUUUUCUUUUGCUAGUAAAUUUUUAAACAAUUUCUCUUAAUUCAUUAAUUUAUCAAGUAAAGUGCAUUCAUAAAAUUAAAUAGUUUAGGAUGAAGGUAUCCUUACAAAGUCAACUAUGAAUAUGAUCUUAAUACAUUAUAGAGGAUGAAAAAAUUAAAACAACAAGCUCAAAACUAAAAAUUUUUGUGGUCGAUAGAUUAAGAUAGUUGCUUCCUAAACAAGCAAACAUAUUUGCACACUUGUUGCUUUCUUUAAAAAAUAUGUUUCAUUGUUGCUUGUGGAGAGCACUUGAAAAGCAUUCUACAAUUAUACACCAAAGUAAAUAAAGCAUGGUUAUUCAUAAUUGUGCUUUUAAUCAAACUAAUAACAUUACUAGCAUCAAUUUCAAUUUCCAAUCCAGUGGUAUUCAUGGUUUAGAAAGCUGUAACCUGUACUCAAGAGCCCACAAUUCAUCCUCAACACUAGAGGCUUUAGGAAUGUGUCGCAUUGAUCCUCUAACCCAAUGACCACUUCGAUACUUGUUAAUCCUAAGUUUUCCAUUGAUGAACCAUCAAUAUUCAACUUAAAACAAUCGUGAUAGGGGGCUUCCAAUGAACCUAUGCAUAAAAAGAAAUACCAAUAUGUUUUAGUGAGGGAGAAAGUACAACCUAUUCUCUUACCUUGGCCACAACUUUAGUAAUAACAUUGUCAACAUAAGGAAUAUUAUUAAAAAAUAGGGAAUUGCGCAUUAACCAAAUCUACCAUAAAAAGUAAAAAAUAGUGUUCCAUGGCAACUUAAGAGAGGUAAUCCAAUCAUUAGAAGUAACAUUAGUCAUAAUACAAGAAAACCAAUCCAGAUUUAUUCUCAAAGAAAAAUUUGGUGGUGGUUUAAGCUCUCCCAACCAAUUUUCCACUUGCACAAUCUCUAAAAAUGUGUUCUAUAGUUUCAACGUAGUUCUUACAUAAAGGGCAUAAAUCUUGAGCAUGAGUUCCCCAUUUUGGCUAAGAAAUAUCUGGUAGGAAUAGCUUUGUGGCAACAUUCAUAAAAAAAAAUUAGAAGAGAUUUCGAUUUUCCACAAAAUCUUCCAAACAUUAGUACUAGAAUUAGGCUCACAAAUAUUGUUAGCCACCAAGCCACAAGCAUUACCUAUGCUAAAUGCCCCAUGCUUGGAGAAAUUUUAAGAAGGGAAGUCUUCUCCUUCAAUUCCAAAACUCAUAGGAAUGCUUAAAAAGGCAUCGACAAUAUCAUGGGUUGGAGGAAGAGCAUGGGUUACCACUUAUUUGCUCAUAUUUAAUCUUAAACUUCUUAAUACUAAAGGCCUCUCCUCGCAAUUAAGAGGCCCCUCCAUAAGGCUUCUUGAAAGAUAUAACUCAACUAAUUAUUAAACAAAAAAUUGAUGUUUCUCCCAUUGUGCUUUCUCCACUUAAUACCUUUUCAAUAAAGUUACAACUUUUCUAAGAGAGCUCCAAACAAUGGAGGCAGGUCUUUCGCAACCUUAAGGUUUCUUAUUAUCCAUAAUAGGCUCGUAAUUCCUCUUUUUCAUUCAUAAUUCUCUAACCAAGCUUAAUGAGAAGGGCUUGAUUUCAAGCUUUUGUAAUUUUCACACCAAGACCUCUACAUUUUAGGCUUAGUAAUGGCCUUCCACUUCAUAUGAUGAUUAUUUUUGUGAUUAUCGUCCCCAUCCUACAUAAAAUCAUAGUUAAUACGAUCAAGGUCUUUGUAAACACUUGGAGGAACCAAAACACGUUGCGUGAAGUAGGUAGGAGUAGUCGAAGUGAUGGAUAGAUCAAAGUAGAGUGCCCCACAAGAGAAAAUAAGUUACUUUUCCAGUUACUAAGCUUAGAGUGGACUUCAUCAACAAUGAAACCACAACCUUGUUUAUAGACUCUUGAAAUGGAUAGGAAAAAAGUAAUGUAUCUACUAGUUACCAAGAUCUUUCAUCUUUUUAAUAUUAAGCUCAUGAAUGAUCAUACUUCUAUGACAAGUAUUAGUGUUAGGAGAGAAAAAUACUUUUGAUUUAGGGACACUGAUGCUUUUAACCUUAUUUUUGGCAGAACUCAAUUAAAACCCUCUUAAGGCAUUAACAAUUUUCUUACUCGUUUUAGCAAAAAGAAUAAUGUCAUCCUUAAAAAAAGUGAGAUAGUUUAGGACUUCUCCUAAAUAUGCAGAUGGGAUUCUAGUCUUUAUCCUUACCAACUUUUUCAUUACUCAAAGUGAGAUAGUGCAUACAAAGAAUAAAAAUGUAGGGCGACAAAUGGUUCCUUUAAUGAAUGUCCCUAAAGGUGUUGAGUUUUUCAAUAUGUUGGCCAUUAACCAUCAUUAACAAAGUCAAGGAUAAAACACAAUCCAUAAUAAGGGCAAUCCAUUUUUUUGAGAAUUCAAAGUAUGUAAGCACUUUGCAAAUAAAACCCCACUCAAGCUUGUCAUAAGCCUUUUCCAUGUCCAAUUUAAUAACCAUCAACCCCACACAACCUCUCAUUUUCUUAAAAGAAUGGAUAAAUUCUUGGACAAUAAAUGCAUUUUUUUAUUAUCUAUCCCCCAUGUACAAAACUGUUCUGGAAAAAAGAAGAUAACCUUUUUGUAACAGCCCGUUUUUUAGUGGUGUCAUAAAUGGUGGUUUUAGAACCCCAUUCGAUGAUUGAGUCAGUAAAUAUUAUCAUUUAAUAUUUACGAGUCUAUAUUGGUGUUAUAUUUAUUUUUGGCCUGACAAUUUUGUUGAACGAUUAGUAAUUAUGGUAUAAGGAUUAAAUCGUAAAAACUAUAAAAGUUAGACGCUAUUGAUUUUUAUUGGUUAAAAAAGACUUGAAUGGUAAUUAUUCAAGGAUUAAGUGGAAAAUAACCACUUUUUAAAAGCCAUGGAUGGUUAGUGGGAAUUUUUAUGUUUAAUUGUUAUCUAAAUUAAUGUUAAUUUGGAUUAAAAUAUAUUAAAACAUAAUAGCAUAAAAGAAAAGUGGCCAUCAUCAUCUUUCUUUCAUUCUCUUCAUUGUUUCUCCAUUUUUAAGAAGCUAAGAAAUUUAACCAAGCUUCUUCCUUUGCAUGUAAGUCCAUAUUGAGCUCCCUUUUUUUUUUGUAAAUUUUAUGUUUUUGAGUCGUUGUAGCUUGAUUUAGCUAGCCCAAAAAUUAAAUUGUGAAACUGUUAAAUUUUUAUAAUUUUUUCAUUGAUUAUUUUUUAAGCUUUCGGUGUUAAUAUGUUAGUUUAUAAGCUUAGAAAUGAAAAAGGACUAAUUUAUAAAGUAAAAGUUGUUAGUUUUGAACAUAAGGAUUAAAGUGUAAAGAACUUGAAUUUUAUGUUAAAUUUUUAUAAUUAUAGAUAUUAAAGGGCUGUAGAAGGAUGAUAUUGAAAUAGGAUUGAAAUACGAGGCUUAAAUGUGAAAUAUAUGAUAGUUUCAGUUUUAGGGACUAAAUUGAAUAAAAUGUGAAACUUUAGGGAAUUUGUAAAAAGUGAAAUUAAAGUGUCAUAUUCAUAUAAUAAUAGGUUAUAAGGUAAUUGAAAUUGAUAAUUUGAAAUGAACUACCGUAUAGAUCAAGAUUUGAAUCAACGGAUAGAUAAUCGAGGAAAAAAAUUGUAGAUUAGUCCCUAACACUUCAAUUAUCGUUGAUUGUACCUGGUAAGUUCAUAUGGUAUAGUUAUAUUCAUAUAUGUAAUGUUUGUGGUUGAAUCGUGCAUUUAUAUUAUUUGAAUGUACUUUAAACCGUUUACAAAAUGAUACAAAAAAGUGAAAAAAUGACUGAAUUGUAAAUAGUUGUUAUGAUAUGUUACUUGUGUAUGGAUGAACAUGUGAUAUGAUAGGAUACAAAUGGCAUGCCAAUAGGUUUAUUCGUAUGUUGUAUACGAGAUAUGCAUAAGAGUUGAUAUUGAUGUACGAAAAUUCACUGAUUGUACCGGAAUCCAACAUUUGUUGCGGAUUACUGAAUUUGUCUCCACGGAGACCACUGUUACCGAUUGUCUCUACGAAGACUUUGCUAUGGUGGAGGGAUGUACUGAUAUAUGAUAUAAGAGCCUAUGGACCUUGCAUUUAGGUGCUUUGGUGUGGUGUAGUCACUCGUGUAUCUGUAUUUAUUAUAGUUCAUCGGGCUAAACUGUUAAUGAAAAGAGAAAUGACGGAAUGAUGAUAUGAAUUGAAAUUGGAAAUGUUUAUACGAAAUGCUUACUUUGUUUCAUUUUCUAUUUUUGUAGUUGGCAUUAUUGGAUCACCUUAGAGCUCAUACUAUUCAGCUUCUGACUCAGUAGAUUUUUAACCAUUCCGAACUUGGUUAUGUGGCAUGUAUAUAGAAGUUGCAUUGCAUAUGCGUCAUACUUGAUUUUGGAUAUUUACUUAUUAUGUAUAUAAAUGUGUAUGAUGGCCAAACUUUGAAUGUUGAAUGGUUAAGGUAAUGUUAUACGAAUGGUGUAAAAUUGUUCAAUAUGUGAUGGUUGGGUGAUAGCUUAAUACGAUGACAAAUUAUGGUAUUCAGGAUCAUGAAUGUGGCUUGGACUUUGAAGGGCUAUACUUUAUAUGCAAGUUGUGUUUAUAUGUGAGUUGUCUUUAUAUGUAAGUUAUGUUAUAUGCGAGUUGUGUUUAUAUGCGAGUUGUCUUUAUAUGCAAGUUGUGUUAUAUGCGAACUGAGUUUAUAUGCAAGUUGAUUUUAUAUGCGAGCUAUGCUUAUCAAUGUGUAGACCUUGUAAAUGCGCAAGUUGUGUUUAUGUGUGAAUUGAUUUAAUAAAGUUGUUAUGUGUGAACUAACUUUGUAUGGUAUGUAUGUGCAAGCUCUUUGUGAAGUAUUUAAGUGUAAGUUGUACUAUUGUAGGAUCCUAUAACUCAAGUUCGACGACUGGACCAGGCGAAGGGUGUUAAACUUUUCAAGUAAUAAGUGGAUAUCUUGAACCAUGAUUCUGAUAGUAAUUUUAUAGCUAAUGUUGCACAGGAUAAUAGGUCUAACAUGUUGGAUCAGAGUAGUUGAUUAAGACUUGGGGAUAAAGGCAACCAGGGCUUAAUUAAUGUUAUCAACUAUCUUAAAAGAAUAGAAAGACUCUCUUACCAUGUCACAAAUAUUCUCUUUCCCUUGAGGCUAACAUAUUUAGAAGAAAAAAGGGUGGAUAACAUCCAACCCUGGGACAUUAAAGGACUUAAAGACUAGACGACUUUGGUAAUAUCCACAUCUAUCACCUUUUUAACCAAACACUCAGGCUCUUCAUUAGAUAAACUAGGCCAAAGGAAAAGAGUUGGUUUAAUCUUCCUAUCCACCAUCAGCGAUGAAGAUUAGAACAUAUCCUUGAAAUGAUUGCUAACUAUAGUGUUCAAAUCCUUAGAAUUAAUGACCUAGUUCCUACGAGCACUUGAGAGGCCUAAAAUCCUAUUAUAACUACGCCUCUUAAUUGUAGCUAAAUGAAAAAAAAAGGUAAUACAAUCACCUUCGAUAACCCAAUUAUCCCUGACUUAAGUAUCCAUAAAUCUUCCUCUUCAUUAAGAAUGCUCUAGUAGUAUUAAAUGAGCGUAUUUUGAAGUUUCAAAAGGAAUUCACAAUGCCUCAAUUCAAGGGCAAUUUCAAGACUCUUAAGCUUGGCCAAAAUACACUUUUUCUUCUUAAAAACAUUUCUAAAAGUGUUUUUGUUCCACUUUUUGAAGUAAUAUGUGAAAGCUUCGAUAGUGGGAACUAAGUAUUAAUCAAGCUAGGCCUAAAACCCUUGAAGGAUCUAGCGGGAUUCAAGGUGAUCCAUUCACAACUUUUCAAAAUUGAAGGGUUGAUCACAAUUCGUAUGACCCACUUUCUCAAGGGUGGCAAGAAUUGUUGGGAUCUAGUGCCCUUAAUGUAGUGAUUACGUUUAUAUACUUGUAACUUUCUGAACAAGUUGGUUUAAUAAAACUCCAUUAUCAUUCAUAUAUUUUAUAUAUUGUCCUCAAACAGUUUUUGCACACAAAGCAAAAUAAAAUCAAAUAUUAUUUCGUUGAUUAUCUAAUAUUUAACUAAUAUUGAGCGACAUUAAAUCGAAAUUCAACAAGUCGAUUGAAAGACUAAUAUGAUAUCUAUCAAGUCCAAAUGGAAAGAUACAUUGUCAUGGGUAUUAGAGCGGAUAAUUUCCAAAAGAUAGAUAUAUAAAUGUAACUAACUAGACUAGCAGUACAUCAAACAUGAUAGAUAUAUAAAUGUAACUAACUGGACUAGCAGUACAUCAAACAUGACCCAAGUAGAAUAGAUUAUGUAUUAUUCACUUGUGACGUUCAUAGUGUGAAUUACCUCAAUAUUGAGUAAGUGAUGACUAUGUAUGCGUGACUCAUAUACUUUGAUGUAUUGAAAGCUUGUGUUCAAUUGGUAAUAAAGCUAAAAGCUGGUACGUUGGGUAUACAAGUACUUCGUUACAUGAAUUUACUUACAAUAGUGGUUCGUUACAUGAAUUUACUUACAAUAGUGGAAUUCAUAGCUCAAUAAAAUGGUAAAUGAUAUCUUCUUAUUAACAUUACAUGAUAGAAAAAAAAGGAACGUGACUACAAGUCAUUUGUCUUAAGAUAAAUGAUUUAAUUACUAUUUGUUAGUAAUGAGCUUUUCAUGAAGGAAUAUGUAAUUGUUACUAUGAGAUAAAAUAGGAUUAUAUUGGGAGAACAUAUUUACACUAAAUAGAUUAAGGAUAUCCAAUGAGAGUAACACACAUAUGACAAAUGCCAUUGGAUGAACAUUUAGUACAGUAACUUUUGUGAUGGUAUAUAAUGAGGAGAGCUUAUGAUCUUUAGUGGAAUGACUCUAUGACUAAAUAAUAUUGUAAUUAAUAAACGAAGAGUCAGAACUUAAUUACGAAUUAUUUGGACCCUAAUUAUAUAUAUUCAAUUAGUCCCUUCGUUAGCUCAGUAUAAUCUUGAUGGUUUGCAUUACUUGAUGAAAUGAAAAAUGUGAAACGAUGAACUAGAGAAAUAGAUCACAUGUAUCACUAUUCGCAGUGAAUGUGUUUUCUCACUAUGAACAAGAGAUAACUUGCAAAUUAAUUUAUAUCUUUGAAUUAUUAUUUAAUUAAUCUGAAAUUAAAUAAUUGAAUUUCGUAGUGAAAAUUAAAUUACUUAAGUCAUUAUAAUUUCAUAAGAAUAAGAUUAAUUAAAUUAGUUUACUCAUAGAUUCUAGUAAGGUAAAGUCAUCAUGACUUUAAUAAAAACUUUAACAGAAUUAGAAUUGAGUUGAGAAAAUAAUUUAAUUAGUAUAAUUAAUUAUUUUAAUUAAUUAAAUGAAUAAAUAACAUUAUGGGCAUAUGCAAAUAUUUAUUAGGCUUGGAAAAUUAUACGAGUUGGUUUAAAGACCAAUUAGCGCAUAUAAUAAACUCGUUCCAGGACGAGGCUCAGUUUAAAUACAAGGGGCGACAAACUCUAGUCCCAAAAAGGGGUUGCUACUGUCUCUACAUAUACGCUAUAUAUGGGAGUUGAUUUCCUAUUAAAAUAUUAUUAUUUCAUAUAAGAGUUGAUUCUCUAUGUUGGUAUUCUGUCAAAAUAUAAAAAAUUAUUUUCAAAUAAAUUCUAUCUUUUGACAGAACUCAUCUUUCAAUUUUUAGCUUAAAGUUUUACAUAACGUUUCCAUCGAUUUGCGUAUAGAGCCCCACACUCUAGCAAAUCAAGAUUAAGAAUAGUAGAGAAGAUUGGGUGGUCAAAAGUCGAGAACGAUUUAGUCUACCUUGUAUAAAACAUGGGUAUGAUCUAGGUAAAUGGGUUUAUUGCUAUAAACAUCACAAUUGAUUGGUUUCAAAAGAAAUUUUUUAAAAUUCCACUGUGAACUAUUCCACUGUUUAAAUGAAUUUUUCCAACAAGAAUAAGAUAAUGAUUCUACCUAAUCUUGGAUAAGUGGUUUACAGUGACUUUAUUGUAGAGCCGAGUGAACUGAAUAGAGAAUCAAAAUCGAGUGAGUCUAAGAUAAAGGGCAAUGUUUUAAAGAUUUAAUAAGACCCAAUCAGUGAAGCCUUGAAUGAGCUACAAAUGAUAGAUGACAUAGACCGGUCUCCCCAAGGAACUAGUAGAUUAGUGCAAAGAUCCCACCAAUUGUAAUGAACCGAAAGUUACGGUAUCGAAAAUUGAAUCUUGAGUACUGUUUCCGUGAAAUUUAUUCAUGAAUAUUUAUUAGAAAUAUUUAUGAAUUAUAGUUGAAUUGUUAUUUAGUGUUUAAUUAAGUGAAAUAGCUUGAAUUUAGUUUAAAGGGCUAAAUUGCAUAAGGAAUAAAAGUUUAAUUAUAGAUUAAAGAAGUAAAAGGGACUAAUCUAGUAAUUAGACCUUAAGUGCCAUGUGUGUGUUAAUAUUGAAUAACGUGUGUAAUAGUUGGUAUAUAUGUGUAAUAGCUAUAAGAUAUUUUAUGUUAUAGCUAUUACACAUGUUAGUUUUAUAUUUAUUAUAGGUUAAUAAUAGUAUAAUAAGUAAAAUUGAUAAAAUAGAAAAAGAAGAUAGAAAGACUAACAGAGAGCAAACGUGAAAGAAAGAAGAAAGAAAGAAAUAAAUAAAAAAGGGAAAUUUGAGGAUUAAGGCCCUAAAGUUUGAUUGGUAAGUUGUUUUAGCUCAUUUUCUUAUGAUUUUUAUGUUUAUGGAUGCCUAAUUCAAAGUUCUACAUGUAUGAGGUUAAAAUGAAGAAAAAUAGAGAAUUUUUAGAUAUUAAUUUAGUUGAAUAAAUUGAGGUUUUAUGGGUUAAAUUGAUAGAAAUUGAAGUUUCUAUCUUUUUGGAAAAUGGCAUUGUACUUAGGAUGUUUUUUGGUCAUUUUGAAAGUAUCUAAGUUGUUAAGUGAUAUUUUGGUAUGUUUUGUAAAUGUUACCAAAACCUUAAGUAUGGUAUGUUUGAUAUGUUAGUGAAGAGGAAGUGUUGGUAAAUAUUGUAGAGAGAAGAAAUGAAGAUGUUAUAAACUUAGUUAUCAACAUUUUAUACUAAAACAGAUUUGGACAGUAGCGGUAGUCCAACUUUGAAAAUAUACCAAAAAUAGUAUAAAGUGAAUUAGAUAAUGAAUAAAAUUUGUAAUUGAAUCUUAAUGAAUCUAUUUUUAUAUGGAAGAAAUAAAAUAGGUAAAAGAGUUGUAUUUUAUGAGAUAUUUACGUUUUGGUGAAACAGGGUUAGAACAAUUUCUAGAUUCCCUGUUCUAACUUUAGAAAUUCACCAUAAAUUGUGUAUUAAGAAUUAGGACUCAAAAUUUAUUUUUAUGGAUUCCUUAUCGAGUCUAUUUUUAAUUGAAACAAAUGGCAUAGUCAUUGGAUUCCUGUACAGGAAGAAAUUUGAUUCGUAGUGCACAAGGGUCAGAGUAGCCGAACCCUGAAACAGGGGGGACUUUUUCUAAUAAACUGUACUAAUUGGCCUGACCAAAAAUUCUAGAAAAAAAUUAGUAAGUAGAUAUAUGAGUCUAGUUUCAGGAAAAAUUUACGGAAUUAGAUUUCGAGUUUCGUAACUCGAGAUAUGAUUUUUUUACAGACCGUGACGCAGAUGGAUAAUUUACUACGAAAACUGUUUAAGUGCUAAGAUAAGUUUUGUAAUGUCUCCUGCUCAACUCCGGCGACGGUCUCGAGUAGGGGGACGUUACACCAAUUUCUCACAUUAUAUGAGAACUCCCUACAUUGUUGAUACCGAUGAGACCAGCUUGGCCUUUCCCAGAGAAAAGAGCAACUACCUAUCUAGCAAUUUAUUGAGCUUUAUGGAAUCUGAACUUUGCGAACAAGUGGAUUCACAGAAUCCUUCUUACUUCUUACAAUAGAGGGAUAAAAACUCCAUCUCCAAAGCAACGUGUUGGUAGCAAUGUUAAUAGAAGUAUAACCAAUAAUAAAUAAAUGCAAGAUUUAUAUGGGCUCUCUAGUGAUUCAAGGAGCGCAAUACCUCUUUCAUAAUGUGGAAAUGAGGCAAGUUUGGGGGGAGACUUAAGAAAAUAUAUCAAUGGGAUUUAAUUGUUCUAAUUCGUCUCUUUCACUCAUUAUUUCUAUGUUGAUCUCGUUUGGAAUUGUUGAGGGGCCAAACAUGACGACUUUGUCAAAAUCGUCAAGGAUAUGGUGAGGCUUUACAACCUUUUUAUCAUGAUCAUCACCGAGACUAGGGAGAGAAGGGAUGAGGUUCCUUCUAUCAUCAAUCAACUCCCCUUCGACAAUCAGUGAUUAUUGGGCAUAAAGGUGGACUUUGGCUCGUUUGGCUCGUAUGGUGCUCAGUGGAUGCUUUUCCUAGUUUAACUUAAAGGUUGUUGCUAGUUCUCAUUUACUGAAAUCUUAUCUCCACUCCAUAAAUGUGGGGGUCGUCCCCUCCCUAAUUUGAGGUUUAGGUGAUCUCGUCAUUGUUUAGAUGCUUAGGGUUGAAGGGACCCCAAUUCAUGCGGUCCAACUUGAGGGAACCCCCCGAAUCUAAAGUCUUACUAAGCAUUUUCUGAUCCCAAUUGGAGAAUCCUUAACUCCUUUUACAACUGUUUAUGUAUGAAGUUUUUAACUUUGAUAUGAUGGAUUGAUGUUGGACAUACGUUAGAUAUAAUAUAAAUUAUGGACUUGAAAUAGUAACACAAUCUAUCUGUCAUCGCGUAUAAACAUACAUGUGAAUAGUACACAGUUCCAUAAUUAAAAAAAAAAGAGAGCAAGUCAAACUCGAACACAUGGCUUAGAAACAGCACAACGCAUGACAUUCAUUGAUUCUGCUUUCUUCAUCCUCUGCAACCAAUCUUACCUCAGUUUUCCCUUUAUUAUUAUUAUUUUUUGAUCUUCCUGAAAACCCAUACCUCCAUUAAUACACACCAUUCAUUCGUUUUCAGUUUUUAACUCUUCCAAAACAUUGAAAAACACCCUUUUUUCUGGUUUUUCCCUUUUCAAUACUUUAAUCUCUAUUUUGCAUCAAAAAUCCAUCUGUUUUUCCCCAUUAGUUCUUGUUCAUAACGCGUUUGUUUGCUUUGAAUCCUCUCUAUUAAUUUUUUUUUCCAGUUGUUCGUUUCCCUGGCCGUUCUGACUUUCAAUUAUUAGUAUUUGGUAUGCCACUUCUCUCCUCUAUUUUUAUUCAAAUUUAACAUAUGAGCAGUAAAGUUAACUUUUUUUUUUCUUGUUUCUUUAAUUUUUUAUUAGCUUUUGUUCAUGCAGUUUCUUCUUUGUUUAGCUGGACUUUUUGAUUUGUUGUUACGUUCUCACUUAUACAUAUACUGUUCUUAUUAUUUUAGUGCAAAAGAUGGAAAAAGUUUUGGCUUUUAAAGAUUUCAGUUCUAUAAAGAUUUAAUAUUUUAUGGAAUUUCAGCUAAAACCCAAUUGGAUUUAAAGCUGUGUUUAUUGUAGUUCUUUUCAGAUGUAACUCAUUUCAAUUUUUUCCCCUGGUUUGUUAUGUUAGUGGAGGACACAUCUUUAAAACCAUUGAAAAAGAUGUUAGUUUAUGGUUAUUGAGAUUGUUCCUAAAUUAAAUUUCAAAAGUUCCGUCUUUGUGAUUACUCUUUUCUCUUAAUGAAACGUGGGAUCCACUUCCACUUUAAUGGAGUGGUAGAUUAUCAGAAAAGAAUCAUGGGGUACAUAGUUACUUUGUCUUACUCUAUGUUAACCACUUUAAUUAUUGAUUCCUUUUCUUUGGUUGUUAUAAAAAAGGUUUCUUUCUUUUUAAAUGGUUGCCUACAUCUUUCAUUUGAUAAGAAUUAUCAAAAUAUAAAUCUUAUUAAUUGUUAUGUAUUUGUUAAAUUGCUGAGAAAUGCAGUUGUCUAUAUGUAUUUGUCUUGCAACUUGACUUUUUUGUUAUGAGUAUUUGCAAGAGUAAUCACUUGUUGUUAUAUGCAUGGACUUUAGUUUAACAAAGUACUUAAAUCAUUGAUUAAAGCUGUGAGUAUAACUGACUCAAUCAUAUUAUCAUCAAGUGAUGAUUCAUGUUUGCUGUUGCUUCUUUUGAGAAAGCUUUACUUAUAGGAUCGAAAUCCGAUAUUUCUGGCAGGACAGAUAUGGAUCGUGGUACUAAUAACCCUGAGCCUACAAGAACCGGAGCAUUUAGCCGGACGGGCAGCCUUGGCUCUUCAUUAAGGAAGCGUUCCUUUAGUGUAUCAAGUUCUGUGUCCUAUCGUAUUGAUGAUGACAUUGGAAGUGAGGCUGUUUCGGAGGCAGGGGAUAUUGGUGAUCGGGCUCUUCAAAGCAACAGGCACAGUGUGAGUAGUAGUUGCCGCUUAUCUCUGGAUCUUGCAAUGGAAGGCGGGUCAGUUAUUCAUCCAGAAGAUUUGCAUAAAGUCUCUGUUGCGUCACCCGUGCCAGAGGAUGUCACAUCUCCCCUUCCAGUUUAUCCAUUAAAGGGCCCUGGGGAUGAAAAACAAGUGAGCUUUACUGUGUUAUUUUUUCCCCCUGUUACGCUGUUUCGCUGUAAUAAUAAAAGUACAUUUGGUGCAUCAUGCUUCCACAUGCAGGAAAAACAAGGACUACCUAUGUCGUUGGAGUAUAUUUCGUGUCUUAUCCAUUUGGCUGUUUUCGGAAUUCUCGGGGUAAUUUACUUGAGCUUCCAUUCUUGAGUUAAUUAGUUUUGGAAUUCUGACUUCUGAUAUAUAAAACAUAAGGUAGAAUACUUUUUGUUGGUAAAAUUGACUUCUGGUGUAUAAAACAUAAGGAAGGAUACAUUUUGUUGGUAAAAAACUGACUUCUCAUAGUUUUGCAGGUUUUCACAAGAUAUUUGCUUGAAAAACUUUUCGGACCGAGUCUUUUAGGUGUGACCAGCAAUGAGACCAUUGUAUACCCCAACCUUCCUUCUAAUAUGGUAUCUUCUCUCUCUCUCUCUCUCUCUCCAACUCAAACACUGUUUGCAAUGAGUAACGGUUUAUGGGUGUAGGGUGCACAUACUAACCGGUACAACCAUGGUUGCACACAGUGGUUCGCUCUAUCACAAUGCCACAAGAUUUGGACUUUGGUUUGUCUAAUGCUAAUUGAGCUGAUAUAUUGAUGAUAUGCUAGUCUAGGAGUGACUCUUCAUUAAUGUUGUUGUGAAGCUUAUGCACUGGAUGUGCUUCUACAAGCACUUAAUCCGAACCCGUAGAUUCUAGAUAACCCGAGGAAGCUACAUUGGUAGACAACUCUUUGCAGACUUUGGUUAGGAAAGCCUAGAGAUAGAUCGGAUGCCUAGUGUUCAGUUUUUGCACUUCCAAAUAAAUUUUUAUUCACUUCGGAUUUCCUCUCUUCUUUGUUUCACCCCUAUGAAUAUAUUCAAAGUUUUUUUCCACUUGUGAACUUGGUUACAUGUUCAUACAGGUUGGCUCUUUCUUGAUGGGGUGGUGGGGUGUUGUUUUCAAAGGUGACAUAUCUCAAGUAUCUGAUAUUUUGGCAAUUGGAUUGACUACCGGAUACUUGGGUAGCGUCACAACAUUCAGUGGUUGGAAUCAGAAAAUGCUUGAUCUCAGUGUAGAUGGCCACUGGGUGCAAGCUAUACUUGGGUUUCUCAUAGGUAAUGUGCUACAUGAUGCCUGUUUAUGAUUGGAAAAAGUGUUUUCUGUUUGGAUAUUCAGAACUAAUGAACAAAAUGGUACUCUCUUGGCUCAAUCAUCCAUUAAAGUUGAAACUCUUUUUCUUGCAGGCUUGUUUCUUGUAGCUUAUUCUAUCAUUUUUGGGAUAGAGACAGCAAAGGGUUUCCGGUGGAUUCUCAAAAAGCUGAAUACAAGAUCGGAAAAGGGAGUCCCGAGCUCUAACUGUAAUUGGACACUCAACAGCUCCAGACGUCAUUUGGUAGCAAUGUUGAUAUUAUUGUUAGUUCUUGGUGUUUUAUUGGGCGUGAGUGGAUUGCUGCUCAAGGAAGAAUUUAGCAGUGGUAGCAGUGGAGCUCAGCUGUGGCUGGCUUGCUUAGUUGGACCUUUCGGAGUAUGGAUCAGGUGGUUCUUGGCUCGACUUAAUGGACGUGGGUUAGGAAAAUCUGGGAUUUUGAGAUGGCUUCCAUUCGGGACAUUGAUCACCAACGUUUCUGCUGCUUGUAUAAUGGCUGGACUCUCCACGAUUGAAAAGUCGGUAAGGGCUCACUGAAUGGUUUCUGUCCGUAGUUUUUAUCUUCUAUUUACCAAUGUCACUUGUUUACACGACGCAUGUGCACUAGCAUAGUCUUCCACAUUAGCAACUUAUGGCUCUUUCUCAUUAUCUGCAUCAUAUCCUCAUCUGCCAAAGAGUUAUAUGCAGCUAUGCUUUCAACAUUGUGAAUACCGAAACAAUUCCUAUGAGGUGCAGGUAAAUAUCAAGAACUUCGACACUGUUGCAAACGGGAUACAGCUAGGAUUUCUGGGUUGUUUGAGUACAGUUUCAACUUUCAUUGCCGAGUUCAAUGCAAUGAGAGAAAGCAAGCACCCUUGGAGAGCUUACCUUUAUGCUUCAACUACAAUGGGGAUUUCAUUUGUUUUAGGGAUUCUAAUAUUCAAUGUACCUGUUUGGACAAAAGGAUUUACUUAGAAUCCGGGGGUUGCCGCAGGGAUGGCUAUGUUUUGAACCCGGGGAUGUCAAAAGUUGACGAGAACACGUUGGUUUGUUCAUAGAAAUGAACACCUGCUGUGACAAUACCUUGCUGUCCGUUAGUAUUCUCCACCUAAUACAUUUACACGAUUUGUACCAGAGAGCAAGGUAUAUACAUCAGUUUUCUUCGUUCUUAAUAAGCCACUACAAUAAAAUGAGUUACGAAAAGCUCCAUUGCUGCCUUCAAAGCUCAAGUUCCCGGAGUCGUGUUUGUAUAUUUUCUCGUGUCACAAUUGAAGGUGUUUUAUGUUUACACUAAUGAACCAUGCUUCUUGAGAGAAUCAAAUCGACCUGGAUUUACAAGAGACCUCUCUCUAUCAACACAUCAUGUAGCAAGUGCAAGAUCAUUAAGGUAAAAAAGUUCGACAUUGAACAAAAUGAUCAUGGGUUUAUCAUACAGGUUUAGUGUUCUAUGUUUUAUUGACACUAACAACUUAAAUAUUAAUUUUAUUAAAUUUCAACAAAAAAUAUAGUUCAAAAAGAAUAAAAAUUAAUAAAUUUCAUCAACAUUGAGAAAUAAUGAAUAGAAAAAUAGCAGGUCCAUAAAUUACUGUCUUCAGAAUAGUGAGAGUACUGAAAUACUACUCUUACUGGUAUAAAAGAACAAGAAGAUGAAUGGAAGUGUAUCAAUGCUCUAUUCCAAUUGAUUAAUAAAAUACGCUCUCCCUUCUGAUCUCUCAUUUUCUUUGUUCUUUAUUCUCUAUCUAUUUAUUUUAUAACAAAUAAUAAAAUAAAAUCUGUAUUUAAAAUACAAUUUGUUGAAAUAUGAUUUGUUUGUUGAAGUGCAUUCGUUGAACUAUUAACAAUACCUUGAUUUGGCCACGGAUCAAAAUAUUUUUAAAGAGUUGUAGUUUGGUGCAGCAUGGUGACAGGCAAGUGACCAAAGAUUGGGUAGGAGACAAACUUUAUGUAAAAUUGUUUUUGUUGUUUCAAUAACAUGCUGGUGUCGGCACGGUGGCAGGCAAAUGACCAAAGAUGUUUUAUACCAUGGGAAUGGAGAUGUAUGAAUAAAGGCUUUUAUAUUCUCCACCCCCAUCAGUAUGGAGAGAGGAUUUCGGUGUAAUCUUUUUUUCAUAAGAGGAUGGCACUGUUGAAAAAUAUGUUUCACUUCACUUUUAUUUUUUAGUGUACACAACCAAGUGUACUUAGUGUAUUGAUCAAUGAAAACACAAAUAAUUUUUUAUCUAUUGAUCAAACUGGCAAGGGAUUCAUAAAUCACUAAAUAACGUUUGUAAAGGUCAGACACAAGACAAAGUCGUUGAAAUGGUAGCCUCUGAGAUUUAUUAGAACAACAGACAUUACAAAAAAUCUUCUUUUAUCAGAAAAUGACAACGAAAAUUUACUUAAAAUGAAGUUCAAAGUUCUAGAAUGAGGAUGAUCCAAUCUUCAGUGCCUAGUAAUAACAGGGACCUUUGUGAUGAUAAGAUAGUUUUUGUUGGAGAGCAAGAUUCGCUGAACUAUUAACCGGUAAAUAACUACUUUAACCUGACAGACGUUUACCUCUUCGAAGAGCACAUUUCAUGGUUAGUUGUUUACCUCUUUCGUGAGCACCUACGGUGAGGAGAUUAGUCGUUGUUACCAGCAGUGGAUCUUCUAGUUUCAACAAAAAAAGAAGUAAAAAUUGAGUCUCAUAAACAAAUGGACGCUCAAUAAGCACAAAUUUUCAGCUUUUCAUUUUAAACAAAGCAUUUGAGUUACCUUAAGAACUUCUGAGUUCAGCCUUCAUGGCCCAUCUUUCCAUCUCUUCACAUACUUCUCGUAUUUUGCUUUCUCUUUCCCAGUCCCAUGUACCUUUUAGUGUUGAUUCCGUACCUUCUUCAUUCACCUUGCUCUUUAGUCCAACUCCCUAAGAAAAAAAAAAAAGAUAAGAACUGAGAAUAAUUAGUUGCUGCUUUGAUGUAGUUGAGAAUAUUUGAUUAUUUGAUAUUAUUAAAUAGUAUCUUUAGAGAUUCCGGUGGAUAUUUUUAGAGAUUCUAAUUAAGAGAUAUUAUUUUCUUAGUUGUUAAAUGCUACAUGUAUAUAUAGUUGUACAUAUUUUUAAUAAGAGAUAUAUACUUUUGAGAGAGGUUUUUCCCUCAAUACAUUAGAGUAUUCAUCUCUAAUUUCAUCAUGGUAUCAGAUUUUUUAUCCAGUUUUUGAGAUUUUCUUUCUUUUUUUUUUCUAAUUAAAACUUUUUUUCCCACGAACCUUAGAAACACAAAUUUGGUACUUUCCACCCUAGCCUUAUUUUUUCUUCUCAGCACCCUUACCAAUGGAGUUGAAAUCCACUCAUCGGUGAAACCCCAGACUUCGGUGACUAGAAGACCUGCGCGUGGGCCCUACACGUCGUUGCAAGCUUUUCCUGCUUUGUUUUGAGUGCCACACAUGGACUCUACCUGUUGCCGCCAUGUGUUUUCUGAUGCCGUCGCUGUGCUCUCUGCUCUCUUCCAAUCAUUCUCCUCUAAGUGGUGGUGUGUUUUUGGCUAAGUUUUUUGUGUGGGAUAUAUUUGGUGUUUUUCUUUUUUUAGUAUUUUUGUUCUAAUUGUGCAAGCAGAUUUUUUUUGGGAGGGGUUUAGUGGUUUUUUUUCCAGCAUUAUGUCUACAAAUGAGAAGCUCAUGAUUCCAACCGAUAAUCCCUCAUUGCAAAUUAGCCUUGUGAAGCUUGAUAGACAUAAUUACCUUGCUUGGUUUGGUCUUGCUUGUUGUUUAUCAAGGCUCGUGGCUUACAAGGAUACCUCACCGGUAACUCAUCGAAACCUAAACUCACUGAUUCAACCUUUAGUUGUGGGAUUCAAUGAACUCUCUUGUUAUGACAUGAAUUAUCAACUCUAUGCAACCCCAUAUUUCCAAAACCUAUUUGUUGCUUGAUACUGCAAAAAAGAUUUAGAAUGCUGCUGCUCUCACCUACUCUCAUAUUGGGAAUGAUGCGUAAAUUUUUUAGAUUCAUAAUAAGGUGCAUGGUAAAAACAAGGGGAGCUAAUGAUUUCUCAAUAUUUUGCUGAAUUAAGUGGGUUAUAGAAGGAACUUGAUUAUUAUGAAGAUUUUCAAGCGAAUUAUGCCAAUGAUGCCGAAAAGUUUCAAAAGAUGGUGGAAAAGGAGCGUGUUUUUCAUUUCUUGGCUGGGUUGAAUACUGAGUAUGAUCAGAUUCGGGUUCAAGUGCUUGGCAAGACUUCGUUCCCUUCCCUUCAUAUGGCAUACUCCUAUGUACAACAGGAGGAGAGUCAUUGUGGUGUUAUGCUCUAUCGGGUGGUAAGUCUACCAAGGAUCACUUAACGUAUGACCACUGUGGUAAGCCUCGGCAUGCUAAAGAUUUGUGCUGGAAGUUGCAUGGUCAUCCCACUCGUGGUCGUGGUGGAAAACGAGGGGGUAAUUUUCGGUCUGAGUCAAAUUUGUUAGACUCUGUGAUAACAGAGAAUAAGUCCACUUUUGUUGGAAGUUUUACCUCAGACCAGAUUCAACAUCUUCGACACUUCUUGUCUCAAUUGGACUCUACCUCGAUUGGCAAGUCUAAUCAUGCAAACUCAGGUACUGUUUUAACUGCUCCAUUUACUUCUGACUCUUGGAUUAUUGAUUCCGGUGUGAAUUGACAUAUGACAGGUCAAACAAAAGCUUAUUUAACUAUACUACUUGUCCAUCUAAAGAUAGUGUGUGACUAGCCAAUGACUCCCUUACCUCCAUCUCCAGAACAGGCUUUGUUGUUUGUACUCCCAAUAUCACUUUAUCCUCUGUCCUUCAUUUCCCUAAAUUUCGGGUUAACCUUUUAUUUGUUAGUACUAUCAUUAAAUCCUUAAAAUGUAAACUUGAAUUCUUUCCCGAUCAUUGUGUCUUUUAGGACCUCUAGAUAGGGAAAACGAUUGGCAGUAAUAGAUUGUGUAAUGGCUUAUAUCUUCUAGAUCAAUUGUCCAGUAUGUCUCGAGCAUUAUUUAGUGACAAUAAAGAUGUUAACUGGGAGAUAAUUCAGUGGAAUAAGCGGUUAGGACAUCCAUCAUUUACUAUUCUUGCAAAGAUGUUUCCUAAUUUGUUUUCAAGAACUCAAUUAGACUCUUUAGUUUGUGAUGUCUAUGAGUUUGCUAAGCAUGUAAGAAGCAGUUAUCCUUUGCGUAAUAACAAAAGUACUAUUCCUUUUGAGAUUAUUCAUUCGGAUGUUUCGGGGCCUACUCACCUUACUUCUUUAUCUGAUAAUCAUUGAUUUGUUACUUUUAUUAAUUGUUGCACUCGGAUGACAUGAGUAUUUUCAUUAAAAUGCAAAAGUGAUGUUUUCUCAUGUUUUCGUUCUUUACAUAACUUGAUUACUACUCAGUUUGAUGUUAAAGUUAAAAUUUUGCCAGCUGAUAAUGGAACCAAGUAUAAAUUUAAUGAUUAUUUGAAAUCAUAUGGUAUUUUGCAUCAAACUAGUUGUCCAGGUACAAAUGCUCAAAAUGGUGUUACUGAAAGAAAAAAUUGGCAUCUUUUGGAGGUUGUUGGAUCACUUAUGUUCACUAUGAAUCUCCCAAAGCCUUAUUGAGGGGAUGCGAUUUUGGUUGCGGCUUAUCUCAUUAAUCGGAUGCCUCUUCGGGUCCUUAAUUUUAAAAGCCCCAUAGAAACCUUAUAGGGCAAGACGAAUUACCCAGUUUCACCAAAGGUCUUUGGUUGUGUUUACUUCGUUCAUCUUCGAAAUAGGAGCAAACUGGAUCCUCGCGAGUUAAAUGUGUUUUUAUUGGAUACUCUCCAACACAGAAGGGUUACAAAUGUUAUCAUUCGCCAUCUAGAAAGUAUUAUGUAAGUAUGGAUGUAACAUUUCAUGAAGAUGAAUCCUACUUUUCUUCAUCACAACUAUCUCUUCAAGGGGAGGUUGUUGAAAAUGAAGAGAUGAUACCUUGUUUUGUUACUCUUUCGAGAAAGAAUUUAGUUCCAACAGAAACUUUGGUUCAAGAGAAGACUAGUGGAUGAUUGUUGGAUAGGCCUGAUUUACAGGCAUACACUAGAAAAUGCAAGAAAGAAGAUGUCAUCAUACAAUCUACUUUAUGCCUUAACUCCUCAUUGUCAAGUGAGUCUUCUUUACCUCAAGUUGCUCCUGAUUCGAAAGUAUAAAUAACCCAACUAAAAUGUGUUAGAACUUGCACUUUACAUCCUAUCUCUAACUUUGUCUCUUAUGAUUUCUUAUCCCUAUCCUUUAGAGCUUUUGCUUUGUCUUUGUUCUCUAUGUUUGUUCCAUAGGAUUAGAGAGAGGCUAUCACCGAUCCAAGAUAAAAGAAGGCUAUGAUUGAAAAAAUGAAGGCUUUAACAAAAAAUGAGACGUAGGAACUAGUUAAUACUCCUGAGGGGUAGAAAUUAGUUGGCUGCAAAUUGGUGUUCAUUAUCAAGUAUAAGGUUGAUGGUUCAAUUGAAAAAUUCAAAGUCAGAUUAGUGGCGCAAGGAUUCACUCAUACACAUGGAGUGGAUUAUUAAGAAACACUUGUUCUAAUUGCUAAAUUAAACAGGAUUAGAAUCUUUUUAUCAUGUGUAACAAAUCUUGACUGGGACUUACAGCAGUUUGAUGUAAAGAAUGUCUUCUUACAUAGAAACCUGGAAGAAGUGUAUAUGAAAGUUCUUCCAGGAUUUGAGGAUAAAGAUACUCAAGGGAAGGUAUGUAAACAGAAAAAGGCCCUAUAUGGACUAAGGCAAUCUCCCAGAGCCUAGUUUGACAGGUUUAGUAAAGCCAUGGGGUUGUUUGGCUAUCUACAAAAUAAUAUUGAUCAUACCCUCUUUAUAAAACAUCACAAUGGUGAGAUUACUCUCAUUAUAGUUUAUGUUGAUGACAUAAUUAUGAUAGAAGAUGUCAAGGAAGAAAUGACCCGGCUUAAGAAACAAUUGGCUUAGGAAUUUAAAAUCAAAGACUUGGGAAAGUUAUAGUAUUUCCUCGAAAUAGAAGUGGCCAAAUUGAAAGAAUGAAUUUUUAUUUCCCAAAUAAAGUAUGUCUUAGAUCUUCUGAUAGAAACUGGCAUGUUAGCUUGCAAACCAGCAGAAUCAACUAUUGAGAGUAAUCACAAGUUACAAGCAGGGAUCAAUGAAAUGGUAGAUAAAGGGAGAUAUCAAAGGCUCGUCAGACGUUUAAUUUAUCUCACCCAUAUUCGACCUGAUAUAGCCUAUGAUGUUAGUUUGGUAAGUCAGUUUAUGAAUGAUCCUCGCGGAGCUUAUAUGCAGGCAGUAUUACGAAUUUUGUGCUAUUUGAAGUCUACACCGGGUAAAGGUAUUCUCUUCCCAAAAAUUGGUCAUCUCAAGAUAGAAGUAUUUACAGAUGCAGAUUGGGCUGGCUCUCUUGAUGACAAAAGGUCUACGAUGGGUUAUUGUACUUUUGUGGGAGGAAACUUAGUCACUUGGAGGAGCAAGAAACAAAGUGUUGUGGUUCGAUCAAGUGUAGAGGUUGAGUAUUGGGUCGUGGCUCAAGGAGUUUGUGAGCUUUUAUAGCUACAAAAAGUAUUGGAAGAGCUAAAGUUGUUGAACGAAAAUGGAUCAACCUUGUACUGUGACAACAAGGCGGCCAUCAGCAUAGCUCAAAAUCCAGUACAGCACGAUAGAGCCAAACACAUCAAAAUAGAUUGUCAUUUUAUUAAGGAAAAAGUAGCCAGUGGUGCCUUAAGUUUAUCUUACCUAGCAUCCGAAAAACAGUUGGCUGAUGUUUUUACUAAAUGACUCAACUUUAAGACUUAUCAUAAUCUUCUUUACAAGUUAGGCAUGCAAGACAUCUAUGCACCAACUUGAGGGGAUGUAUUGAGAAUCUUUGAUUAUUUGAUAUUGAGAAUCUUUGAUUAUUUAAUAUUAUUAAAUAGUAUUUUUAGAGAUUACAUCUGAUAUUUUUAGAGAUUCUAAUUAAGAGAUGUUAUUUCCUUAGUUGUUAAAUCCUACAUGUUUAUAUAGUUAUACAUAUUUCUAAGAAAUAUAUACUUUGAGAGAGUUUUUUCCUCAAUACAUUAGAAUAUUCAUCCCUAAUUUCAUCAUAUGUAAAUUGUGGUUGCUUCAUGUUUAUAGUGAUUGCGGAUGUUAUCACGAUGAAUAUAGGCAAUAGAGAGCUCUGGAACCACAAAAUAGCAACCUGGUGACUUUUUGGGUCACUGCUGUCAUCUUGAAACUUUCAUAUUAAGAUCUUUUGAUCAACUUCAUUUAUUUGUUGUGGAUGGUCAUUACAGAAUGGCAAAACAAGAAGAGGUGACAUACCAGCUCGGAGAAAGAUGACGCAUCUGAAAGUUCAUCAGCAUGUUCUGGCCUUCUAAGACGUACAUAAAGAGGUUGUCUCACUGUUAAAAGUGCCAUCUUAAUAUCAAGGAAGCCAAAUUUCACCAUCCUUUUCAGAACUCUGGCCUGGUAGGUCUUGCCACUACCAUAAAGACAAAUUAACUUCUAAGCAAAGGAGUUGAAAGAUUUAGAAACAGAGAAUGUAUGUUCAUUAUAAACAGGAUUAAUUUAAAACCUGCUGCGAUCCCUGAGUGGCGAUCUAUGCUCUGGGGCUGGUAUAAGUCCAGCAAGCAUUGCAGACUCGGCCAAGUUCAGUUGAGAUGGAUGCUUCCCAAAAUAAAAUUUUGAUGCUGAUUCAAUGCCAUUAAUACCAUGUCCCAAGUAUAUCUGUAAUUUACAAAGGCCUUUUCAGAUUUCAAAUUUCAACAUCUUAGAGUCACAAAAUCCCAAAACAAAUGGCUAUAAUACUACUGCUUUGCUUCUUUCAUCCAUUCUUUGGACAUUCCUUGAUAAUGUAUUUGAAGUAUUACGAUCCAUUCAAUAAAAAAGAUGGGAAAGAAUGAAGCACAUGCAUAAACAUUAGGAAGGGCAUCAAUCAUCAAAGUAAAUGAGACAUAUGAUCUGACCUUACAAACAUAAGAGCUCAAUAUUCUUUGUUUCGACAUUGUCCUUUCUAGUGCCAGUGCCAACACCAUUUCCAGGGUCUUUCUCCAGAAUGUGCGCUCAUUUUUCAGGAAGGUGUUCUUCACAAGCUGCCAUGUGAAUUGCAGAGAAUUAUCAGACAAAACAAAAAUUGAUAAAACAGACAAAUCAAUUAGAAGAUAUAUAUAAUAACGAAAACUGCAAGUAUUGGUUGAAUUCAAUCCAUUUCCAGAAUUUGCAAAAUAGAAAAUGGUCAAGGUCCAAAAUACCAGUUGAUAUGUAAGGAUUGGUUUGAGGCAACAAGAAGGCAGGAGUAAAAGCACAAAAAAAAUUAUCAUCUCAACAAUCAAAAUGUCACUCAAACCAAACAAAUACAAAGAUAUGGAUCCAUUCGACAUUAACGCUGUAAUGCCAUAUUAGCUGAUUGAUAUGCCCAAAGAAUGCAAACAUUCCAAUAAUGUUUAUGAAGGUUGGGGGCAAGAUAACAUCUAUCAAGUGUUAUGAGGAUAAGAUAGGCUUACUGUUUGUCAUCGGUGAUUAUCAACUUCAGAUCAUAUCAAAUAUGAUGAAAACAAUUAAAAUGUUUUGGAGGACUAUAAUCCUAUCAGUUUAACUAAUAGCUUAAUUUUAACCUUGUCAUUGAGCAGAAAGGAGGAAGUACCACCUGGCCAAGUUUGAACUGCCAACUUGAAGUAGGCUAAGAAGAAAAUAAAUAAAGAGUUACUUGAAAAAAUGGUCAAAACAGCUGAACUGUGUAAUAAACCAGAGCCACAAGUUGUCCCAACGGUACCAAAGAAAAAUAUACAGUUGCAUGACAAAAUUCAAACUACUAACUUUCAAUCUCAUAUACAUAGAAGUAUAACAAUAUUAGGAGAUAAACAGUUUCAUUCACAAUCCAUGUGUUGCUUACAAAGUCAAUAACAGCCAACAAAUUACUACAAGGAAAAACAAACGAUCUGGAAAGAGUUCAGAAAUCAAGAUACGCUAACGUAAAAUGAUGUAACUGAGUUCAUGCAGAACAAACCAGCACCGGAACCACAUACCGUGCCAGCCACCUACAGCAACAUGUGGCAGUGUGUACCCCUGUAACUUUCAGUGGUCCUAACACUAUAGGUUUGGCAGUAGUAGACAAAAAAUUAACACAAAGUUGAAAAAGAUUAAAAGAAAGAGGCAAAAUGGACAAUAAAUUUCCAUGCGAUCUUAAUAUUUACUUGAGUAAAUAAUUUGCACAAGGUGAAUAAAAUACAGCCAACCAUCCAUCUACCCUAUAUUUGGAUCUUUUAGAGGAGAUAUACACAAUAUUGCCAUCUCUAGUUCAGAGAAUAACAACUAAGUUUAGUUCCCAAUAACAAACACCAAACAACCCGCAUUCACUACAAUUACUACACAAGGUGCAUAAGUUGCAACCAUUCACAUUAUCUAGGGCCUGAGAUUUGCUGUGAAGAGAUAUAAGAAAGGCAUGUAUUUGAGCCAGUUGUACUACUAUGAGAAGCAUUUGCUUGUGGGAAUUGCAUGAAAUCACUUUGCUUUCUUUCCACUUCUAUCAUGGAAGCCUCGGUAAAUCUGCGGCCAUAAAAGCGCAAAAAAUUCAAGGACUCUACUCUUGGCUGACCUAGAGGAAGCCCACCUUCCAACAUCCCAACAACAGUGGCCAUACUUGGCCUCAGUGUUGGCUCCUCAUGAACACAACACAAAGCAACACGCACUAGUUUCUCCACCUCUUUAUUUGUCACUCGUCCCUCAAGUUUUGCAUCCACAAGCUCCAAGUAUCUACCUUGUUCAUGCAUCUCUAGAGCAAACAGUGGAAAAUAAAUCAAUCCCAUCACUGAUGAGGACAAGGAGUUGCCUCCACCACUGUUGGUAUCCUCAAUGCUAUGACUCUGAGAUUUCAAUGAACAGUUUUUCCUCCCACUCACCAAUUCAAGCAGUACCAUUCCAAAGCUAUAAACGUCAGUUUUUUCAGAAAUUGCAGAGUUAGUAAGCCAUUCAGGUGCAAGAUAGCCACGGGUGCCUCUCAUUGUAGUGAACAGGCUGGAUUGUUCAGGGGUUAGAAGCUUUGAGAGCCCAAAAUCUGAUAUUUUUGCUUGAAAAUGAUCAUGCAGGAGAAUAUUUUCUGGUUUGACAUCGCAAUGAAUGAUCUUAUGUUCACAGCCUCUGUGCAAAUAUGCAAGCCCACGAGCAGUUCCAAGUGCUAUAUCAAAUCUCUCCUGCCAUUCUAAUACAGGUCCACUGCCAAAGAGGGUUCUGUCCAAUGAGCCCCGGUUCAUAUACUCAUACACCAAAAAGCGUUGUCUCCCUUGUGCACAAAAUCCUCUUAAUUUGACCAAAUUGACAUGAUGAAUAUUUCCAAUUACUGCAAUUUCUGUACAGAAUUCUUUUUUCCCUUGGAUUCCAGGAUUUGAAAUCUUCUUGACUGCCACAACAGUUUUAUCAGGAAGUGUUCCUCUGUAUACAGAACCAAACCCUCCAGAUCCUAUUUGGGUCUUAAAAUUAUCAGUAGCUGCCUCAAGUUCUUCAUAAUCAAACUUUUGUGGCAAACCUGGAAUGUAGAAGGCAUCCAUAUCUUCUGAAGAACCUGAGUUUACAUGUCCUAAUUUUAUCUCUCCACCUUUGCUGUGUAGCCGCCUUUUCCACCAGAAGAAAACUAGAGCAGCUAACAGAAAAAACCCGAUGGAAGGUAGGAGCACAAUAGCUGCUAUGGGAAACUCUUUCUUUUCAUUGCUAAAACUAUUGUCGCCACCAGAAUCUGUUGAAAUAGGUCCAACAAGUACUUUUACAUAUCCCAGAAAGUCAUUUUCUACAGUACUGCUCAAUAUAAUGGAGCCCAAGUCAUUUUCAAGCACAUAGCAAGAGCCAGAAGAAUUUUCAUAGAACAUGCCCAAGCAAGCACAGUCUUCAGAGCAUAAAUCUUGACAAACUGGAAAUCUUACACCAUAUCUGACAGGCUGAGAGAAAAGAAGAGAGAAGUAAUCAAUACCAGAGCCUAGCCUCAGAUAUGAAACAGUUGAAGAAUUUGACUCGCUAACAUUAUUGGUUGAAUCACAAGCAGUAGGUAGAGAAUAUGAACUACCACUCGGCAAACAACCACCAAUAUUUUGUGAAGCUGGAUGGAAAUCAGAUGGACACGUACAAGUGGGAGCUUUUGAAGUGGAGUCACCUGUACAUAAUCCCAGUUUGCCACAGCUAGUUGGAAUUUGACAGUCAUCAAUUGGCCCGACAAAUUCCUGAACCCAUUUACCACCAGAAAAACUAUUUACAGUAAAAUGACCUAAAACAUCCAACUUGGCAAGUCGGAAGGUAGCUGGCGACAAGUUAAGCUGAAUUACAACAACUGAUCCAUUAUGACCAAAGAGAGAAAGGCCUGUUUUAUUCAUUUCCAUGUAUUCAACCACAUAAUUUGAAUUCACAUAGGCCUUGGUAUCCAUUGACAAUAUCCAAUAUGUCUGUCCAUGCCAUUGCAAUAAUGCAUCAGAAGCACUAACCAUGAAUCUAUAAUCACCAGUUGACAAGUUACUUUCUGAUACAGCAUUUGACAGUUUUGCCCCAACUGGAAGCUGUUGUCCGAUCACAAUUGUAUCAGUUGGAUGGUAAAAACUCUCCCACAGAGAACCAUUAAAUUUGUCAAGUAGAACAAGAUUACCCAUUUCAGUUAGCAGUAAUGCAUAAAUUGUCGUCCGCAACUGAGGUGUUGACCAUUUGGGAUUACCAUCUGGAUCUGCAAUGCUAAUCCCGUUGACUGUAAGAUCCAUUUUACCGGAGCUUGAGAUAGGAGAACCACGAUUAGCUGACCAGAUGAUGGUAUUGGAUUCAACAUGUAUGAUGCACAAGUAAAAGUUGGUUUGAGCUUCGGGGUUGUAGAUAGAAGCUUUGAAUGUUCCAUUACGAGAGAACAAGAAGGCACCAUCUUUGUCAAUAAAACUGAAGUGUGAAGCACUGAAAUUUGGGUAGAUAAACUCUGAGAAAGAUUUCGCAGAGACAGAAGAAUAGAACAGGAAACCGAAGAUAAAGAAUAGGAAGGAUUCCAUAGAGAUGGAAAAAAGAAUGAGGAGAUUUCGUAAUGAUGGAAGCCUUGUUGGUGAGGAUGGAAUAUGUCUGCAAUGAUUUUCUUCAAAUUUUUUUCAUUGCUGGAGCUCAGCAUGCGUUGACAAAUCUCUCUACAGUGACGAAUUCCUGAUUGUUAUUUAAUUGAUGCUAACAUCAGCAAGGGAUGUAAAGCAUGACAAAUUUGGUUCUAGUCAAACCUAAGUGUUUAACUAUUAUAAUCAGAUAGGUGUUUCCAUGCACUAGAUACACCUUUCCCAUCUAUAUUUUUUUCCUUUAUAGAAUUUUCCUUUUCACACUGUUAUAUUCUUACUCAGAUAACUUAAAUUACACCUUGCAAUACACAAGUUGAGAAAGAAAGGAAUAGGAAAAAGACAAGGAAAAUAACCAAACACCAACAAUACUACCAAUUUAAUGGUUCCUUGCCAGUCUAUCCUACUUGGCUUUAUUCCAAAAUCAUCAAUCUGGUAUGUACUAGUGCACUUCAUAAGUCGCUCAACAACUAUAUUCGAUUCACCUAGGCACAAUUUAAUAUUAAAACUCAUACUUGGGUAAACUUGAAGCAUGUAGCCCGAGUCAAAUGCGUUUUCAGCCAUUCACAUGUACCAAAAUACAAAAUUCAAGAAAUGAGGCAAAAAAAAAAAAAAAAGGAACUCAAAUAAACAGCGCCCACUAUUUUAAACAUAAACAAAUGAAUAUAUAUAUAUAAACGCACUUAGUUGAGGAAAACAAUCAAACAUGUUGUGUACAUAAAUAUAUACAUAUAUCUCGAAUUUAAAAAAUACAGCACUAACCUGCUGAGUUAUGGUGCUACCUCCCCCACGAACCGAAAGCGACAAAACAGCUCGACCAAUGCCAACUGGAUCGAUCCCAAAAUGUGUAAAGAAGCGACGAUCCUCGUAAGCAACGAUGGCUUCCCAUAGAUGUUUUGGAUAAGAUUUGGUCCGAGCUUCAGCUUCACGAGAGAAAGCAACGAGGCUUUGCCAACGAAGAGCGAAAUCGGGCAAAAGGACAUUGGACAAAAGACGAAAACACAAAAGGGUCAAUGAGAAAGCAAGGAGAGGGAGUAGUUCCUGAAUGGGAUGAUGGGUCUGAAUGGAGGGGGACUCUGGACGGACUGAGUUGACUGGUAGGCAAAGCAACGAAUUGAAGUGAGUCGGAGACUUCAGAGAGUAGAAAGUCAAGGUUUUACCGAAGAGAUUUUGUGGAUUUUUGAAGCGAAAUUUUGGGGUUUUGCAGUGGAUCAUCGAUCUGUGAGGAGGAGCAACAACCAAACUCAUUUUCUCCUUUUUCUCACCGAUUUCGUUAUUUGGGUAAUAAAACUGUUAACAUCGUUGAAGCAACGGUCUUAAAAACAUGUUUUUUUUUAAAUGGUCAUAAAAACAGUUAAACAGUAAUUGGUUUUUUUUUUAUUGCCAAUCGCCACAGCCAAGAUUUUCAUUCUUUUAAUUUUUUUAUAAUAAAAAUAAAAUAGAAAUUAUUUUAUUCAUAAUUUUCAAUCAAAAUUAAUUUUUUCAAACCAAAUGUUAGUUGCUUGUUAUAAUUUUUCCAAUAGUAUUAUUUGAUUUUUCUUUUCUUUUUUACUUCACUCUAUUUCCAUGUUUUAUUUUUAUCAUUUUAGUUUUUAUUUUUUUAUUAUUUUAGCUUGCAACCUUUAAAAUUUAGUCUAUUGAUUUUUUGAUAGAAAGGUCGACUAAACUAUAAAAUUUUAAUGGCAUUAUGUGUAGGGACGAAGCCAGAAAAAUUUUUUAGGGGGGUCAGAUGAAAUUUUAAUUUUUUUACAGUUUAUAUAUUUAUAAUUUGUAAAUGAUUAAAUCAAAUUUUUAUAAAUUUUUAUAAUUUAGAGGGGCCAAAGUGUAAUUUCACCUUUACUAAUUUAAAAUUUUUUAAAAAUUUUAAGGGCCUAAAAUAUAAAUUUACAUUUUAGGGAGGCCGGGGCCCAUGCCACCCCCUGGCUUCGCCCUUGAUUAUAUGGUAAUUUAUGUAGCAUUUCACGUAUACUUUACUAUUAAUAUAGAUAAAUUUUUUAGAAGUUUUUAUAAAUUUUUAAAUUUUUUUUAUGAAUUGUGCAGAGAGUAUCAUGCUAGUAGCCACGUCAAUGUAGUUGAAAUUUUAAUAGUUUAAUAAGCUUUUUCCUAGAAAAACAAAUAAUUUGACUAAAUUUUAAAAGUUGAAGAUCAAAAUAACAAAAAAAAAUUAUAAAUAAAAAAAUAAACAUUGGAGACUAAAUUUAUUAUUAUGCCAAAUAAAAUUCACUAUAUAUUUAUUUUCACGCUAUUAUUUUUUUAAUUUCAUUUUUAUAAUAUUUGUGAAAUGUUGAUUUAGUUAAUAUAUAUAAAAAUAAUGAAAUAAUAUUUGUCUAUUUUAAUGAAUUGUCUAUAAAUAAUUAAAAUGAAAGAGCCACUUGGCCUAAACAAGCAUUGACUACCUAAUAAUAUAACAUGUGAUUCGGAUAAUAAGCCAAAAAAAUUUGACUUUUUUAAGAAUCUUCUAAAAUUUUUAAAAAUUAUAAAAAUAUCUAAUUUCAAAAUUAAUUAUAGAAAUGACUUGAUUUCUAUAACAGAGUUAGAUAUCACCACCUUAAAAAUCCCUCCAAUCAUGCUUUACCAUUACCAAAAAAAAAAUUAGUAUCUCUUGACAAAUUGAUAACACUGAACUGAAAUAUGCAGCGAAAAAAGGUUUAAGAAUUUGAUGAAAUAAUUUUUCUUUUUAGAAAUCACCUGAUGGAGAAUAAAAGUCUGAUACAAAGCCUUAAAUUCGCCUUAGCUUGCCGACAGUUUGACAUGCAUUGGCUAGCUUGGGCGGUUCGAUCAGAAAACCCUAAAUGAAAACUCUCCAGUCCUUCCCUUUCCCUUCCCUACAUCAGUUGGUCCGUACUUUUAAAAAUAUUUGUGCCAUAUUUAUAUUUUCGCAAUAUGGCAUUUUAUAAAUUUAUUUAAUAAUUUAAUAAUUAUCUCUAUCAAAUAUUAAUUAAAUAUUUAUUUAAAACUUUAAUGCGAUUUUUGAAGGCCCAAGGACGACAUAAUCUAGCCUAUGAACCGGAAAAGCCCAGCUGAAGUCUCCAAUUGGGUUUUUUCUUUACAUCACACUUUCAAAAACAGGUAAAAGUAAUAUAGACUUCUUUGCUUUUUUUAUUAAAACACGAGUAAAUUAGUCUUUGCAUAUUAUAGAUUAAAUAAUAAAUCAAUUAUUUUGUUAAAAAUUUUAUCUAUUUUUAUUGUUAAAAUUUGGUCCCUAUAUGUUGAUAUGAGUAUCAUAUGGCGCACCAUGUAUAAUUAUUUGGUUAUUUCAUCAACUGCAUUUGUUUUUAAUUAAUUGUCUCAUUUUUUAGUAAAAGGGGCAAAAUGCAAUUUGACUCCUAGUACAAGGGCCUCGUGAUAUUGUUGCAAAAUUCAUAUUCAAAAUUUGAAAAAGAUAAUGUUAGAAAGGAUAGCAUGAAUCUCGAAAAUAUUAAUCUUCAUAAAUCAUAAAACAAACAUAAUUAUACAAAUAAAAAAAUAUUUAUGUUUUUUUAUUGGACUUGGCUGCUCAAAUUUUAUUUUUGGUAAAUUAUAAAAUUAUUAACUAUUUCUUUUUUAGUCAAUAAACUAUAAAAACUUUUAAUUUCGUCACUAAUAUUUUUUAUUAGUCCUAUUUUGAUCAUGUCGAAAAUGAUAGUGUAAUUUUUUUGAAUGAGUACAAUAACACUUAUACAUCCUCUCAAUUUGGGUGUUAAUUCUAGCUAGUCGAACAAAUUAAAACCUCCAUAACUACAAAAAAUUAUUUAGCCCCAAAAGCUAUUUGGAUUUCUCAUCUUCUUGGUUGUUUUCACCUAAAUUUUCUCAUCUCCUUACCAUAAUUCAUAACCUUCUUCUUUUUACACCUAACCUUUUUUUUUUCUUUAUGUUUUACUAAAAUCCGUUAUUUUUCCUUGGUUUUUUAUAAUUAGGGUAAAUUGCUUAGUUGGUCACUCAACUUUUAAGGUGUUUUCAUUUUGGUCACCCAAAAUGAAAUCCUUACAAUUUCGUCACUCAACUUUUAAGACGAUUUCAUUUUAGUCACCCAACUAUUAAAUCUCUAAUGGUGGUUAACUGCACACACUACAUUAUGUUCACACUUUCAUUUUGGUCACCCAACUUCUAAGUCGCUUUCAUUUUGGUCACCCACAAAAAAUCAUUCUUCUAAAAUAUUGAUUGGGGUAAAAAAAAUUAGGGAUUAAAAUUAAAAAAUAAUAGAAACUAAAAUAAAACAUUGAAAAUUGUCAAAUUGUAUUUGUAUACCACAUUAUAGAAAAUUCUAAUUUUUUAAUAUUAAAAAUUUAAAUUUCAAAACAUACAAAUCAAGUAAAUAAAUUGUUAAAAAGAAUUAUCCCUUGAUAAUAUUAAUUGAUUUGUUAUUGUAAUAUUGAAGUUAUUAAAUUUAAUUUCCUUCUAAAUUUUAAAAUUUUAUUUUAUAUUUCCAUAUUAUCCUUAAUAAAAUCAACUCGAUAACUCGUAUUUAACAAUUGCUUGCAAAAUUUAAAUUUAUUUUGAUUAUAUAAUCUCCAAUCUUCCAUACUAAGAUAAAAUCAAAGAAAAAUAUUACAAUUAAUUAAAUUAAUGGCAAGUUCUUCAUUUGGGUAAAGAAGUGAUGAAAAAGUUAUGGAUUUUGUUUGACAUGGAAUAUAAAAUUAAUUAAUUAAAUUAAUUAUAAGGAUCUUUCUUUGCUUUUAGCUUAGUAUGAAAGACUUGAGGUCAUAUAAUCUAAAGAAAUUUGGGUUUCAUAUAAAAUUAUUAAAGAUGAUUUAUUUGAGUUGAUUUUAAAUUGGAAAUAUAAAAUAAAAUUUCAAGAUUUAAAGGAUACUAAAUUAAUUAAUUUAAUUAAUUUCAAUAUUAUGAAAACAAAUCGAUUCACAUUAUCAAGAGAUAAUUUUUUUUAAUAACUUAUUUAAUUGAUUUUGAUGUUUUGAAAUUUAAAAUUUCAAUAUUGAAAAAAAAAAUUGAGCUUUCGGCAAGGGAUAAACAAGUACAACUUGACAAUUUUUAAAGCAUUAUUUUAAUUUCUACUACUUUAUCCUUAAUGUUUUUACCCCGGUCCAAAAAUAUAUUUUUUGGCCACUAAAGUAAAAGUAUGAACAUGAUAUAGUGUAUGCAAGUUAACUGUCAUUAGAAAUUUAAGGGUUCGGUGACUAAAAUAAAAGUAUCCUAAAAGUUGAUUAUUUUUUGCCGAUAUCAUUUUUGAUUGGUUAGAUUUGCUGUAUAACCAAAAGAAUGCAUUUAAAGACUAAAUUAAUAGAAUUUACAAAUGUAGAAGAUUAAAUUUGUUGAAUUAUUUAGAAUUAAGACUAAAAUGAUAAAACUUAUAAAUAUUGAAGACCAAAAGUGUAAUUGUACCAAUUUAAAAAAUCACAUCAUCAUUUUCUCUCUGUUAGUCAAGAAAUUAAGUUUCUGCAGUUAGAUCACAAUCAAAAUCACGUUCAUAGUUGGGUGAUUAAUUUCAUUUUUAUGGUUGGAGUUUAAUGCUCGAAAUAAUGGUGGAACUCUUUGAGCUCGCUUUCAAGCUCUUUAUCAUAUCUAUCUGAACCUCUGCCAAAAAACCCAAAUCAACUUACCAAAUUCAACACAAACUGCCACCUUCUUAUUCAACUGUAAUGGUUCAUUGACAAAGAGCAUAAACAAAAAGGAAGAUCAUAGAGAAAACCCACCAACCCAGAACAGCAAUCGAUUUUCGUCUUGUUUACAGCCAAGAAAAGUUUGAAGGGCAGCUUGAAAGCAACACUCAAAGAUACUGAAUGUAAAUGACCUUCCUAAGAUUUUAGGAAUGCGAGUCUGAUCCCGUCUCGGAAAAUGAUGAAUCAUCGGCUGUGGAAUUCUGGGCUUCUAAUAGCUUCAUCUGGCGUUCUGCAUGCUCCCUUUCGCAAGCACUGAUUCCCAUAAUGAUAUCGAGCAUUGUACCAGUUGUGCCAAAGAACACAAGGGGUGCUAAAGAUUUCCGCUUUAUCCCCACCGGAAUUGCUAGCAAAGCCCCUGCUACUGAAAACACCCAUGUCCCCAAUGCACUGCAGAUAUUCCACAACAGUUACACUCGUCACAAUACAUCUAAUGUAAUGGCAAACAUAUAGCCAAAGGAAAUAAAUCUGAAGAUCAAGCCACCUUGCUGAGAAGAUUGAGAUUCACUUCAUGAAGGGAAAUAGAUGAUGAAACUCGAUGUACUGGAUUGUAGUAUGUUCAUUGUUCAUCCGGACACAUAUUACAGGUUAAAUACUAUAUACAGAAAAAUCCAAAAUGGUUGGCGAGUGGAUCGGUUUAAAAAGGGCUGCAACCGGAAUUCAAUAUACAUAUCGCUAUCUUUACACAGGUGCAUGCAAUCAUACAUCAUCAGCAAUGGUUCAAUUCAAUGAGUUGCAAAUUACUCCAAAACACCAUAAGCUGUCAUAGUGAAUUCAAUAAAUAUAUUGCUUUCUUUACGCAGGUGCUUAAUUGGGCUCUUGUAAAAGUUGCAGAACCUAAAGAUCUUGUUGUUCAUGUUUCCCAUAGUUCAGCUAAAUGCAUUUCAUUACUUUCCAGAGAAUUUCAAGGGUUGUAAAAGGUUUCUUAAUAACAGUUUUUGUGCCCUAAUUUGAAAUUUCAUUGUACAUUAUGCUUUAGAAGAAAAGUUGUAAUUUAGAAUCUUAUUUAGAAGCAUAUGAAGGCCUACGUUCAGUAAAGAAGGUUGGUUCAUUAUACUUCAGGUUUGAGGGUUUGAUCUGAUCACUAGACUUAAGAGUCCAGCACAUGAUCGAUUAGAAUCGGAUUUUUGAUGCUCAGGUUUCAGGUUGAUCAUGAAUGCCAGAUUUGCAAAGGUAGAUUGACACAAAAAGUAUUGAAUAGAGAAGCAAAGAACUAUAUUGCUGUAACUCUAGUGGUGGGCACAAGCAAGCAUGGUGUUCUUGGGUAAGGAGCAGUUGAAAGACAAUCAUUUUUGGUUAUUCAAAGGCAUGAGCUCAAGUCAGACCAUGCGCAAACUCUUUAGUUUGUCAUGUUUUUGCCUGUUCAGGCACUCCUCAUAUUGUGAACCUGUCAAGGCUCUCCGUAGAAUAGAAAGACAAAACCCCCGACCGGGAAUCAGCAGUUAGCAUAUUGCACAUCCUUGCUCUUGAAUCUUGCUAAAACCAGGGUUAGAGCCAUUGAUAGAGAGGUUCACAUAAAUCCCAAUUUCUUGGCCAGUGCAACUCUAAACUAGUCAAAUUCUUUAUUGAAGACAUUUCAAACCAAACUAUAAGUAAAUAACAAGAAUCAUUUUAUACUAUAGAAGCACAAAUUGAUACCCUAAACCUAACAAGGUUGAAUAGAUUAACAAGAAUGUAAAAUUUAGAGGAACAAUCAAAGGAGAGAACUAACUUGGAAACUGAGCAUUCUUCAAGCUGCUUAACUUCUUGCCCACCCAUUUCCUUCUUUCCUAACUAUUUGAUUUUGACACACGUAAAGCCCCCCAAAAAAUGAACUUUAUAUCAGCUAAAACGAAAGCCCUAAAACCUGAGAAACCAGCAACUCCCGAUUAUGUAAAAGAAAAUUACUUAAAAACAAUAUUAACCCAUCAAAGUAUGAAUGAUUUGAAGCCAACCUGAAAUUUGAGAAAGGGCUGAUAAGAGGACUACUUUGUUUUCUCUUGUUGCCAACAAACAAAGAGAAAGACGGGUUCUUUUUUUUUUUUUUUUUCCAGGUAUUUUUGAGGUGAAAUUUUAACGGGCCUCUAAUGGGCCAAAAGUUCAUUUCUUUAUCAUCAAUGUCCAUUGCCCGAUACAGUAGGUUAUUCCAAGGAUAAGCCUGCGUGCUCGUUUAAAGGUGUUCUUUUUUUUUGGGUUUCGAUCUUUCUCUGGCCGUACCAAAUAAGAAACUUUCUGACCUAGUGAUGAUAUGAAUGUUUGAUUUUAGUCAUCAAUCAUCACCGGCGCCGUCUGAUUUGAAUACACAAACAUAUAUAUAUGAAAAUCAUGCAUCACGAGGAAAAUAAAAAAAAUGAACGGGGAACAAAGAAAAUUUAUUCACGUUUGUUUAGAUUUUUUUUUGGAUGUGGUACAAAGAAAAGGAAAGUAAAUCAUGAUCAAGCCUGGAGCAAAUGUACAUUCAGUACAAGAUAACAUAUGUAAAACAUACAUAACAUAAAGUCUGAUACAAACCGUAUAGACGGAAAAAGUCAAGACCCAAAGGCCAACAAACCAAAUCCUGUAGCAUACUCCACAUGAAACAAGCCGUCAUUGUCUAUUCAAAGAAAGCAAAGGCAGAAACCCUCACUGGUAUACGUUUGUGUUUAACCAUCAGGGUGGAGUAGCUGCCAUGAUGCGUAGAGCCUCAUUAUGCCCUAGCCUCCAUUAUAAUGGACUCGUUCUGCUAGCCUAUUCCACUAAACGUGGGCAACUCCAGAAAACCACCACCGAAGGUGGAGCCAAAAACGAGUACAACGACUUGAGAGACCCCCCAUGCAGAGGGAGCCACCAGAAAUGCCCAAAGCCAUCGUUAUUACUACAGAAACGCUAGAAAAACUUGAGGAAAACGGAAAAAGAAAGGUGGGCUUACAGAAGAGAGGAUGAGAUGUGAGGUUUGUUUUAGGCAAGGUUAGCAACGGUCAACCAAACAGGGACCACGCCGGAAGCAACCAAGGAAGGCGAAAAGGUCACGUUUGUUUAGAUUGAGUGGGGAAGAAUUUAUAUGGGAAAAUUUUACUUACACACGUGUAAAAUUACAUUCAUUUGUAUUAUUUUAUACUAUUAUUAUUUUUAAUGAUGUAAUGGUCAUAUUUUAUUCAUAUAAAUUAUUUAACAUAAAAUAAAAAAUUUUAAAAAAAAUUUAAUUACCGAAUUAAUCGAAUUAACUUGAAAUUUUUAAAAUUUUAAAUUUAAAUUAAAUUAAAUUUUUAAAUUCAAAUAAUUUAAAUAAAUCAAAUACAAACUAUAUAAUUUAAAAUUUUAAAUUAUAUUCCCCACUCCCCAAGCCCAAAUCCUUUUACAAUGCUCAUUUCCCUCAAAUCCCAAACCCACCCUAUUCCCACCCCCCCAACCCCCCCCCCCCCAAAAAAAAAGCCCGUAUGUCAUUUUCCCAAUUUCCCAAAGCUUGGCCAGCUCCACCAUCCCAAUUUCCCCAAAAGUCAAGAUUUUAUUGUCCAUUUUCUUCUCCAAUUCAAACUUGAAACUCCCAAUUCUCAAAUACCAAAUUUUUUUCUUAAAAAAAAAACCCUAAAUUAAUUUCCAAAUCAAUUCUUUUCUUCUUCUUAAAAAAACCCUUAAAUUAAAUCAUUCAUUCUUCUUCUUCUUCUUGGUUAGUUCAUUCAAACCCCUCAAAUUAAAAUCCCUAUAAUGAUGAAUUCAGGAAGAAAUUUUUAAAGAAAAAUAUAUUUUUUAAAUUGUAUGAAAAUAAACUACACCAAUGUCAUUUCUUAAAUUUAACUCGAAUAAAUAUAUUCGAUUCGAUUCAAAUUCCAUCUCACUCGACUCAAUUCAUAAAAAUUUUAAAUCGAGUUAGGACGAUGAAAUAGGAUUCAAAAACUCAAUUAACUCGAAAUUUUUUCAUUCGAUUCGAUUCGACCAAAUGCUCACUCCUAAUUUAUUUUAUAUAAAAAGAAACUUUCAUCUGUAAUAAAUAUUUUUUUAUACAAUAUAAGUUCAAACUCAUACACGCACAUAUUUUACUAACACAGUAAAUCUACAAAUUAAACAUUGGUUUCGGACAUGAAUGAACACAAUUCAAUCAAUAAGUCUGCUUUGCUCAAAAUAUUAAACUAAUCAAAAAAUUUAUAUACGUAACAAGUACAGUUAUGCCAACAUAUUUAAGGAUUCAAUUAUAAAAAUAUUAAUGAAUUAUAAAGUAAUGUAAAUGUAUCCCUAUAUAAAUUAUAUAACUUAAAUGUUAAACAAGUGCCGCACCUACACAAAUGAAUGUAAACAAACCUAAAAAAUUAUAGGGUGGUCCAAUAUACUUCACCACGCACAUAAAAAAAUAAAAUAAAAAAGUAUGAAGUAAUUAAUUAAUUGAAAAUUUAUCCUUUCAAUGGCUUUUAUAAAUUAUAAUGCUUUGACAGCUUAGCUUAUAUCUCUUCUACAAACCAGCUCAUUUGGCAAAAGAAAAAGGAGUAUAAAAUAAUAUCAAUCAACAUCUGAUUUUUGUAGGGAAUUCUCUACUCUCGUAAAUUAAUCUUGUUUAUAUGUAAAAGAUUUUAUGAAAAAUAUUUUUUAUAUUUUUCUGUAUUUAUUUUAUAGAAAAUAAUUUGGUCAACGGAAAAUGACUUACAGGUUAAGUUAAAAUAAACCCUUUUUCCUGUAAAAUGAUUUACCCUUUUGAAAAGCGUAAGUUUAUUUUUAUAUAAAAAUUAACUUAAAUCAAACUUAAUAUUAUUAUAUUAAUAAUAAAUUUUAUUUUUAAUUUUAAAAAUAUUUAAAAAUAUUAUAUUUUUAAUAUUAUUAAACAUACAUAUUUAAUUACUUAUAUCUAGUCAUAUAAUAAAUUAUUAAUAUAAUAAAUAUAAUUAUUUUGAUAUUUCAAUUUUAUUUUAAUAAUAAAUUUUAAAAAUAAUAAUUUUAAAUAAUAUUAUUCACAUAUUAUUGAAAAUAUUCAAUAUUAAUAUUUCAAAUUUAAAAAUCAAGUUCAAUUGUUGACAUUGUUAAUUUUUUUGUCAAUUUUGUUGAUGUUACAUUUUUAAAUAAAAAAUACUCACUUAGUAGUCAUGUAAUUAAAAAAUGACGUUGUAAUGAAUCUGAAUUUAACAUAAUAUUUUUAAUAUAUGAAAAAACAAUAUAAAAUAUAAAAUUAUAGAUAAAAAUAAAUUCAAUUAAACAAUAAAAAAUAAUAAAAUCUCAAAUGUAUAUUUAUUCAAUUAAAAACGGAGCCUUAUUAUAGAUUCUAAUUAUAUUUGUCAUUUUUGGCAUAAUGUUUAGACCUACCUAUAGUCUUUCUCAACUCAUAAAUAGAAGGAUAAUACAUUUCAAUGCACUUGAACCCACGUCCUUUUAUAUUAAUAAUAAUGCUCACACCAAUCAAGCUAAAACUCGAUCUAAAAGAAUUUGUUUCUCACCGACCACAAAAUCAUUCAUCAACAAACCCUCACUUUAUUUACACCCAAAUUUCUUUUUUUUGACUGAAAAAGUCAAUAAAGAAGCUUGGAUUAGGUGACUAAACCAGUUCACAGCUUCAAUAAUUACUACCUUAUAUAUUCUCUAUGUUUCAUGCAUAAAUUGUUUCUUUUUUUUUUACUGUGCUUUUUAUAAGAAAUGUGAAAAUAGUUUUUUAGGGUAGGAAGGUAUUUUGGUAAUCAAAAAUAGAAAUAGAAAUUAAUUUAAUCCUGAAUUUAUAAAUUAAUAUAUCAUAAAAUUGCGUUUUGGUCUUUUAAAGAACAAAAAAAAAUUUGUUUAAUUCCUUUAAAAAUAAUAUAUAAUAAAAAUUAUAUUUUUAUAUUUCAAAAAAUUAUAUUUUAAUUUUAAUUUUUAUAAAAAAAUUAAAUUCAAUGCUUAUUUUUUCUUUUAAAAAACGAGCUUUAAUAGGAAGAGAAUGACAAAUAAAGGAAGGAGAGGUAGUGGGUGCUAACCCUAAACCUCUCACAUCAGCUAAAUGGGAGUGCUAACCCUAAACCUCUCACAUCAGCUAAAUGGGACUUUCUUAGGAUUCAAAACAACUCUUUGCGUGCCUUUUUCAGAUGUGUUGUGUGUCAUUUAAAUCCCCAACCAAAUUGCCAAAAACAAAAUAUGGGUAUGCAAAUAAAACAAAUAAAAAGUCAAUUUAAGGUGCCUCUUUGUGUUUGUGCCUAAUAAUUAUGGUUUGGAUUUAAGCUCUUUCGCUUUUGCUUUUUGAAAAUGAGAUAUAGGGUUAGUUUAGUAAUAUUUUUAAGAAGCAUUUUUUUAUAUAAAUGUAUUUUUAAACAAGACGUUUUUAAGAAAAAAAUUGUUUUUCAAAUGUUAAAAAUUGGUCAAAUGCAGAAGCAAAAAAUUUGAGCUCUUCUCAGAAACGUUUUUUUCCCAAAAAUACUUCUUAGAAAUAUUAUUAAACCAGCCAUUAAUUAUUACUAUUUUGUUUUUUAAAAUAAUUUUGUUAUAUCAUGCCAAUUAACAUAGUACAAUUAUUAACUCUUAAUGUUAAAUAUUUGUAGAUCAACCAAUAAGAAAGCAGCUUUGGGGCUUAAGUAUAAGAAUACAUAUAUUAAUUUUUUCGCAAAGGUUUCUCGUUUUUAUUAUCUUUAGUUUCAUAUCUCUAAUUUUUUUUCAUUAUUAAGAUUUAAAUCGAUUUAAUAAUCAGAGAAUUUCUCGAAACACAAGUUUCAACACUCCUUAAUUUUUUACUUUCAUUUUGUAAAAAUCCAAGAGCAUUUGAGUCCAUCUCUAAACCUAAUGUGUCUCCAAAGGUGACCAUAACAAAUUUAUAGGGAUCAAUUUUUUAAUUUAUUACUUACUAGUUUUCUUUAAAACAAUCAUGACUUCUUUUCAUGUAAAACUUUUAAGUAUAGGCGAGUUAAAAAUAAGGUAUUGUUCGAUAAAUUGUUGAAGAAAUUAUAUCGAUUGAAAAUUAAUAUUUUAAAUGAUUUAAUAUUUUACAUAAUCCAAAAUAAAAAUAAUUUAAUAGAAUUUUUUUCUAUAAAAAGUAGGAAAACAUCUAAUAAAAAUAAUCUAAUUAUAUUUUGUAAUCAAUUUUAAAUAAAACAUCAAACAGAUUCUAUAACUUAAAUUUUCAGCACAUAAUUUUCAAUUUAACAAACGCCAUCUAAAUUUCUGAACUGUAAACCUUCCAAAAAUAUAAUCUUAAAUGUAUCGAACUAAAUUUUUUUAGUAGAAAAUAAACAGCAACUUAUGCGAUUACAAUAACUGGUUUCAUUACAAUACCAAAGCUUUAUUACGAUCCUCUAACAAAAUGUCCUUCACUGCAUCUGGAGGAACAACAAAUAAUUGUGAACUAGCAAGACGAGUGGCUAUUUUGGUCAAGCAAUCUGCAGCCUCAUUUUGAGAUCUCGGCACAUGUCAUAAUCAGAUUUCCUAUUCUUGGUGUAUCAUUUCAUGAAUCAACCGUAAUUCCACCAUUUUACUACUAGCAGCAAUACCAGUCAAAAGAGAUUCAACCAACAACGUAUUAUCACAUUCAAGUUCUAUUCAUCUAAAACCCUUAUCCCAAACUAUACGUAAUCUUUCUAAAACAAAAUUCAUUAAUAAUAAGACUUGAGCAGAAUUUAUGUAUUCAGAAAAAUUGUUGUUAAUAAUCAAUAAUGAUUUUCUUUUUUAAAAAAUCAAAAAUGGUGAAUCUUGACCUAAAAUAAAAAUGAAUAUAGUUAAAUAUUUCAAAUCAAGUGAUAAUAUAUAUAUUAUCAAAACAUGUGUAUAUAUUUCAUCAAGAAAAAUGUGUCUGUUAAUAGUUUAUAAGAAAAGAAAAUGUAUAAUGAAAAGACUAAACUAAACAUCAACUAGAGACUAAUGGAUAAAAUUGUGAGCAAUCUCGUUGACCAAUCUUGAAAUAUAAUGAAAAGUAACAAAAUCAAAACCAAGGGCUUCCUCAAAGAUUUCGCAGUAUAAAUACAAGUCCAAAUAAUAGCAUAACAAUGGCUCUCCAUAAAUCUAUGAGGUUGAAAUGUUAUUUUAAAUAGAGUUUGAGUUUAAAUAAGGAAGAAAAAAAGAAUUUGUGAAAGAUGAAAUUUGGUUAAAAAUAUGUAUGAGUAGGGUUUAUAGAAGGGUUGAGUAAGAAGUUUUUUGAAAAAAAAAAUAAGGCCGGAGUGAGGAAUGGACCGACAACUAAGGAGGCAUAUAGUGGUCCAUCACUUCAGUGGCCAACAAGAUUCUUCAAGGGUCCAUUUUGAUCCAAUCAAUCAUUAUAACUAAAGACAAUUUAGUGUCAGCCACGAAAUAAUACUAUUCAUUUCGUAUUAUUUUAGUAAAUAAUUUUUAAACUAUACUAUUUUAGGUUUUUUUUUUUUUGUUAGGGUUAGAUUAUUGUAUCUCAAUAAUAAAGAAAGAAAAGGAAAAAGAAACAUAAGAGUUAUGAAAUUUCAUUCCUUCUCCUUAUUUGGCCUAGCUAGAGACUAAUUAUUCAUACCUAAAAAUUCUACCUUAAACAAAGGGAACAUCAUCUUUUGUAUCAAAGGUAAUUAUAAACAUCCAUAACAGGCAAUCCUCAUUGAAGGCCAUCAGUUCUGGUCUGCCAUUUCAAGUUACAACUUAGAAUCCCCUUUCAAAAUGAAAAUCAUGAGGACCCAUCUUUUUGCAAUGGCUUUUUGAAGCUACAAUUUGCUUCAAAUUUAAGCUUUUCUUCCCCACUCUAUAUCUUUUGCUCUUUCUUUGAUAGGAAUAUCAGCAAAAGCACAUCAAUGAAGCAAUAACUCUUUUGUAAGUGCAUAUAGGUUGCCGAUAUUAGGUUUUUCAUUUUUCAUCAACACACCAUUUUUUUUUCCUUUUACCACUUUCUUUGUACGCAUUAAAUCACUGAAAUAAAAAAGAAAUUAGUACAUUCCCAUGUACUGGUUUUCAGUUAAUUGCUAAUUAGUCAGCAAAAAGGAAUAUAUAGAGUGGUCACUACCCACAAUUUCUCUUCCUGGAAAAAAAGCAAGUUUUCUUAGGAAAAUUAGACCAACUGCUAUUCAUAAGAGAAAACUGGAUUGGGUGGUAAACAAAAUAUGGUGGGGAAAGAAAAAAGAAAGCUUGAAAUUAUAAUUGUUGGGGUAGUUUUUUAUUUCUAUAUUCUGAUAACUAGCUUAGCAAAUUAAGGAUGCCACUGGCCAGUACCAGCUUGCUUGUAAUGGGUUCAUUUCUUAGUUCAAUUAUGACUGAUUAAACUACAAGCAAAGGAAGAUAGAGAGAAUAUGAACUUUUUUAUUCCACCUUCAAAUAAUUUUGGACAGGAUCACGUAUGGUAAAAUUUAAGUAAAAGAAUAAAUUUGUACAAACCCCAGAUAAUUUUUUAGAGUAAAUUACAUUAUUAUUCAUAAGUUUUGGUUUUGUUUAUUUAAUUAAAAAAAAUUAUAAUUUCAUCACUGAACUAUUUAAAAGUUUUUAUUUAAUUUAUUGGGCUGUUAAGUUUUUUUUUUAAAAGGGUCUACUAAUGAGCUUUAAGCGAUGAUUCAGUGAUCGGUACGGUGGAUUAGUACCCAUCAACGAGUAGAAGAAUAUACCUUAAAUUCAAGUCGAUCUGAUAGUUAAUGUUGAAGAUCGGAGAAAAAAAUUGUUUAAAUUUUGGUUCGUAGAUUCAUAACAUUCAAAAUUAUUUUAUGAGAAAAAAAUAAACUGUAGAGAAGAAGAGGAAAAAAAGCUUUCAAUUGGUACAAAUAGUGCAAAUGAAAAAGCCAUAUAACAUUGGUUUUAAUAACUCAGUAACUUAAAUGAAAACUUUUGAGUAAUUAGUGACCAAAUUAUAACUUUUUCAGUUAAAUAGUUAAAUAAAAAUUUACUCAUAAUUUAAUGAUUAACAGUAUAAUUUACCUUUUCAAGUACAACUCACAUAAACACUACACAAUUACAUGGAAACUGAAGCAGAGGAUGGAUCUCACAUCUUAAAGAUGGGUCCAACACUCUCUAUCAGUUGUUUAACAACUUUAUAAGUAUUUGUUAUUAUUGUGAAAAAGUUGGGUGAAGAAUUGAAUAAAAAUGUGUUUUUUUUUACCUUAAAAUUAUACCAACAACUAAGCUUAAAGGGAUUAAACAAAAAUUGGCAAAUGGCACAAAAGGAGACACAAAAAGCAAAGUCGGUUUGGUUAUGUCAUUUGAAAUUUCCUACAUGGUUAUCAUGAUGUGCCUGCCACAGUGCUACUUCCAUCAAGCUUUGCUUGCAGAUUCUGCAAUUCAAUUUGAGAGGGAUUCUCCCAAUUUCAAGCUCAAUAAUUCAAUACACAAUAUGUUUUCUUGAGUGAGAAAUCUUGACAUUAAAGCUACUUUGGAUAUUGGUCUAUAUAUGGUUUUGAAUAAUUGAGUACAAAAAUGAGGCAAGUUGGAUGGAAAAACAUCCUACUUUUACAUUGACAUAGCAAAAACACCUUCCAUUUUUACAUAAUUACUUCACUUUCUUUUUCUUCUUUAUUGCAAAGUAUAUAGACAAGGAAGUGGGGAAGAAGGCACCUUCUCCACAUGAGUUGUAGGGAAAAAGAAAAGGUGUUUUGGCCUUUAAUGGGUAAAUUUCGGUAUAAUUUAUUUAAAAAUUAUAUUUUAACCCUUUAAACUUUGUAACUUAAUUUUUGGUCCAAUAGAGGAAGGAAAUACUUUUAAGAUUUAAGGCUCUCCUUUUUAAUUUUUCUCAAUCAGCAUUCUUUUUAGAUGGGUGUUUAUUUUUAGUGCUGUAUGUUUAAUUUUUCUUUUUGUCAUAUGUUAUUAUAUUACUACAGUAUCUAAUUUCACAGCUAUCACUAUUUUUAUAUUAAUCACAAAUAAACACACCAUUCAUUCAAAGGAACUCAAUUCACAUCACCCAGAGAGUAUUUAAUUUUCACUACCUAAAAAAUCCAAAGACUAUAAAUUACACAGAGCGUAAAUAAAUUCACUAUCCACAUGAUAUAUAUCACACUUUAUAUUUUAAAAAAUAGUUUGAAUUGCCACAUGUCAUUAUCUUACCACGUCAACAGGCCGGAUUAAUCAAAACUUGGCACGUGCAAAUCUAUUGGAAAAAUGACUUACUUUUUUAGAAAAUUUAACAUUCUUUGGUGUUUAGAUAGAUCUGUAUAAAAUACUUUCUAUUAUUUGGUAGAUUUCCUUAAAAUAUUUUAUAAAAGUUGUUUUCAAUAAAACAAACAUACAUUUGAGAUUUAUGAUAAAGAGUUUAAAUGAAGUAAUGAAUUGAUUACAAAGUGACGUUAUGGUGAAAUUACAAUAAAUAAUGAAUUUUCGUGAUGUUAAGAAUUAAAGUGAUUAGAAUUUUUUUUUUAAAUUCAUUGGAUUGUCAAUAUCGAUUUCUUAUUAAUUCCACCUUCUCAAAAUGGUAAAACGACUAUAUAAUUUGUUCAAAAUUUAUAAAAUCAUAAGUUAAUAUGAUGAUAAAAUUACUCUUUGACCCCAAAAUUAUUAAUCGUUUAUGAUAUUCUUAAAGAAAUUUUCUAGUUUCACUCUCACCUACCAUUUUACAUGGAUACAAUAUAACAUCACAUGGUAGUUUGACCCAAAUGUUUUUUUUUUUUUUUUAGAGUUUGAAACACUUCACAUGCAUAAUGAACUUACUAUGUGAUACGACAAAAUCAACGAGAGAGAAAAACUACAUUAUUUGAACCUGUAUCAAAUAAACGUUUGAUAAGAAUUUUAGCUACCACUUCAUAUUAAUCAAUACUACAUCUCUUCAAAUUUAUGAAAAUUUUACUUUAUUUUUCUAAAUAAUUAUUUAAUUUACUAUAUUGCUAUAAUAGAACUCAAAUAUGCGGUACAUGGAUUUUGUUUUUUCAACAACAAAAUUUAUUUUUCAUAAUGCUUAUGUAUCAAUUUAUUUUUUGCAACCAUUGAGUAUUAAUUCAAUUUGUAAACGUUCUAUUAUUAAUGCAGGAGGAUGUGGGUUCGAGUGUGUUGAAACACAUUAUCCUCAUACUUAUGGGUUGAGAAAAAAUUGACUAAUUAUAAGUAUUACGUAAAAAAAACAGAUAUACAAUUAUAACGAUAUUGUUAAAAGAAAAAUCUUUAGUACAAUUUGCACAAGGGAAGAACCAAGAAAGACUGGUCAAUCCUUCGCAGGUUGACCUUAGAUUAUAACAAACAACAUUUAAGUAGGUCUAUCUAAUUUGGUAAUAAUUUGUUUUUCAAGUUUUAUUAAUUAAUCUUUAGAAAAUUAGGAUGAUAGUUUUUAUUGUGAUUGAUUAGGAUUUUUAUGCAAUAUUUAGUCUUUUAUUUAUUAAAUGAUUUUGGGAUAUUGAUUUUGUAUGAGACUUCUAACAUCAUGAUUUAGAGGUUGAUUAAUACAAAUUUUUGAAGAAAUUAGGAUUAAAUAUAUUCAUAACGUUGAAUUUCUUGGAUAUUGAUUAGAAAUUUGACAUUCUUAUUUAGGGUUGGUUUGGAUGACACUAGAGCAAUUGAAUGAAAGUAUAAUUACUAUGGUAAUUUUAUAGAAUUGUAAUUCCCUAGAUGUGUUUGGUUGGUAGAGUGUAAGUAGAUCGUAAUUUCCCAUUUCAUGUUUGGUAGUAUAAAUUGUAAUUACAUGGUUACAUAAUUUAUAUUUUUUAAAAACAUUAAUUACUAUAAAAAUAUUAAUAUGAUAAAAAUAAUUUCUAAACAAAUAACAAAAAUUAAAAUAAAAUAAUCAUAUGUAUUAUAUUGAUCUAAAAAAAGUAGAUAAUAAUAUGAUUACUAAUAAAAAUAGCAAGAAAAAUAAACAUCAUAUGCAAUUUUAUUUAAUUGUUUUAAUGCAUAUUUGUUGGGUUAUUUCAUCUUUAAUUUUUACAUAUGCUUCUUAUCAUCAUUUGUUAGUCCUUGACCGAGUUCAUCAUCACUUGAAUUUGAUUUGCAUCAUUAAGAUUAUCAAAAUUUCUUUCUUCUAUAUACUCUUUGAAGUAUAUGGAUCAUCUCAAUUCCAUUUAUGAUUGAAGUUAUAAAAUAUGCAAAAUGUUAGUACGGUCCACAUUUUUUUACGCUAUACUAAUGUGAUGUUAUUAAUAUGGGAAAUAUUUUUUUAAAAACAACAAAUGUCUUCUCAACCACAUUUCGUAACCUUGAAUGUGUAAAAUUAAAAAGUUGGCCAAUUGUCCAUGGUAUUUGUGUCUGAUACCAUUCUUUCAUACACCACAAUUUGGUGUAAGAAUACAAUUUAUAUUUACAUAAUUAGCAUCGACCUUAUAAUAUUUAGGUUUACAGUUCAAAUAGUUUGUGGCUUUAAUUAUAAAAACUUAUAUAAAAUUAAUUUGGAGAAAGACAGUGUUAGUUUAUAUACUUUUUAUAAUAUGUAAAUUAAGUCAAAACCAUAUAAAAUUUAUAAUAUUUAACCUUUAAAAAAAGUUUUAUAAAUUGUUCGAAACUUUCAUAACACUUUUUAUAAAUAAUAUAAUUUUUUAUUAUUACUUUUAAAUGUUAUUUUUAUAAAUAUGUUAUGAUAAAAAAAUACUAUAUCAUUUUUUUAUGAAUAAAUAUAUUGUUUUUAAAAUAUAUAGCAUAGACACAUAAAUAAAUUUAUGUACAGGCUUGGCCAUGAAUUUUUAUAAAUAAAUAUAUUAUAAAAUUUUUAUAACAUGUAAAUUAUUUUUAUAACAAACUUUUUGACAAUAACUUUAGAAUGUUUUUAGGAUUUAAAUACUAUAUUUUUGUUAUAACUUAUAAAAUACACAAAUUAUUUUUAUAAUAUAUUUUUUAGGAUUUAUAAUAUAAGAAUUUUUACCAUAAUCAUCCCAAACACUCGUACAGGUCAUGCUUAUAAUAUAAUUUUAUAACUUGUAUAAAAAAAAAAAUUUAAAUUUGGAUUUGGGUGUAAUUAUUUGUAUAAUUACUCCGAUUCUCACUCCCUUAAGAUUUGAAAAAUGUAAUUAGGGUGCUCUAUUUACAUCCAAUUCGGUGAGACCUACUAAUUACAAUAGUUAUCCAAACAUGCCACCUUUGUAUAAUUAAAAGCAAUUGCACCUAAAUUUGAUUACUAGGUGGCUUUCGAAACACUACCUUAAAAAAUUAUUGUUGCUAAUGUAAUUAUUGUGAAUCUUGUGUUUGGAAAUUUGAUAUAUUACAUUCUCAUUACAACAAUAAGCAUUUAAGUGAUUUUUUAUAUUUUUAGAAGAAAAUUACUCGUUCUAUGUUGACUUUGUGAACACCUUUAUAUGUUUAAGGUUUAGAUUUAUUUAUUUUAAAUAUUUAAUAGAAAUGAGAUAAUAUUUUAAAAGAAAAAUCUACCAAUGAAGUGGAAAAAGAACAAGAAGAAAAAAAAUUAUUAAUUUUUAUGACUUUUAUAAACAUAUUUAUUUUAAAAAGAAAAAAAUUAUCAAUUUUCCCACCCGCCCUCACAAAGCCUAUGGUUAGUUUGAAGAUCCACAAUUGUACUUGAUGAAACUUCAACGUAAGUACUCAAAAGACCCAAGUAAUCAAUAUUUGCCAAUAAUGCCCUUGCCUCAUUAGCCUUCUAAUAUUAUUUUAUUUAUAUAAAUUUGUAAUAGGAAAAGAAAAAAAUAAAUUGAGCCCUACACUAAAUUCACACCCAAUUAAAUUCUUAUUAUUAAUAAAAAUAAUUUAAACUACUCCAUUAAUAGUUUCCGUCUUUGACUACAUUGACCAUUAAAAAUAUUAAAAAAUUAUGAAAAAAUAUAAAAAAUAUUAAAUAUUAAAAAUAUAUAAUCACAAUAAUUAAUAAUUAAUUAAUAUUACUUUUGAUGUUAAAAAUUUAUGAUUCAAAACUCGUAUUUAUAUAUAUACAUAUAUAAAUAUAUAUCUAAAUUCUGUUUCUCUUUUGACUGUAAAUGAAAGUAUCAAAUAAUUUAGGCAUUAGACUUAGGUGAGUAGCAUGGUGGGGGAUGAAUGAAUGGCUAUUUUGAUCAGUCACGGAGACUGAGCUCACAAUAUCUUUGUCAAAAGUCCAUGUGGAGCAGUUGAAAAGCAUGGACAUAUUAUUGCAGGAAAUUAAAAAAUCAUCAAUUAAUUAUUAUAAAAUGUAAUCAUAAUAUUUAUUAUAGAAUAAAAAAGUAAUGGUUAAUUUAAAUCUAGGGUUCGGAUGCAAGAAAAAAGAAAAAGUAUAGUUUCUUUUGUACGCUUUCAAAUUUUGAUAGAACAGAGACUGUGGAUGUAGCAUGCAUGAAAAGUUGAAGAUUUUUUUAUUGAUUUUUAAUCAAGACAAUAACCCUACCAUGCCACUUCAUGUGCUAUUACAAGAUAUGGAAUCAUGUCUUAUCCCAAACAUUAUCCUACCACAUGCUUCCCUUUUCUUCUUUUAUAAACAAACCCGAAGAGUUAGUAGAUUGGAUUUAUUUGAUUUUUUUUUUUUAGUUUUAUUUUUAGGUUUUGGGUUGUCAUCUUGUUCCCAUGGUAUGGAGCACCUUAUGUUGUACAUAGCAAAUGCCUUUUAACAUACGAAUUUUAUAAUCUGAAACAGUUUACAGUGUAAAAAGGAUUAUUCCCCAAAGAGAUUUGUGGCUUGUUUGUAACCGUCAUUGUUCUUUCCGACCACCUACUAAAAGAAGACAUGAUGAUGUCUGAAACUUGCAUAUAAAGAUGUUCACUUCUUUAACUACUUUUAGUUCAUCCACUUUUAUCAUAAAAAAGAAAGUCAACCAACUAAGAUGUAAGUUGAAAUCUGAUUUUCCAUUGAUAUACAAAGAGUAUAUACAAGUUACAUUUUGUGAUCAAUGAAAAACCCUUCAACAUAAAUCUCUCAAACCUCCAAUGAGCUUUUUUUUUUGCUCACCAGGGUUACCUCUUCAAACUACAUAGAAAACAUCUACAAUUUCCAGCAAAUCUAUUGUCUUAUACGUCUAUAUCACAAAAUUUGGCAUCCAUCUGGUUCUGAACCGCUCUUACUGCGGCAACCCUAGCGGCCAUUGCAGCUCUAUUUGCAGCCAAAACGGCCUUUUUUACUUGAUCAUCGACCCGGCGAAGAUGAACAGCAUUCACAGCUGUUUUUCUAGCAGCCUGCAAACCCGGAAAUUAUCAGUGAAUUGGAAUUUAUGGCAUAUUAAGUAGGAAGGUACAUGAGUUUUAAAGAAAAAUACCUCAACUGCUCGAAGGACUGCAUCGGUUAGUUGGGGUAAAGGUGUUUUAAGGGUGCCGGAAUCCCACUCGCCGCAUCUGGUGUCACCACUCCGGAAAGUAUACAUUCCAUACCCUUGUUUACGACCUUCGUGCCAUGAUCCUUGGUAACAGUGCCCGUUCGCGAAGUGAUAAACGCCAAAUCCAUGCAUUUUGUCUCCGAAAUACUCUCCGGCAUAUUUAUCUCCGUUCCUACAACACCGAUUAUUAUGAUGAGACCUCUUUUGAUUGAAUACAAAUGAUUCACCUAAAUACAGAAAGAUCAAACUAAUCUUCGUUCUUCCCUAAUAAAUGAGACCAAAGCGAAUAACAUAAGCAAAAUCAUUAAAGAUUCAUAAAAGGAAAUUAAGUUUCUCCGUAAGCUUUUAUUGGUUGAAUCCAAAAACAGUGAAGGAUCCACAAACUAAUCAUAAGGUCAGCAUCAACCAUAUUUCUGGGUGAAGACUUAAAUGCUAAAUCAAUACUUCUUUCUUAUUGAAUAAGAAAAAUACAAAAUCAAUUUUAGAAAGUUUUUGAAGAAGGUGAAAUUCAACAGAAAUGAGCUGGAUAUACUCAAAUUACUCAGCUCAUUAUAAUUCUGAAAGUAGAAAAAGGGAAAAUUUUAUAUUAAUAAUCAAACAGUAAAUCUCAUUAAUUUCUGGGUUUUCCUGGAGAUCAACAAAAAACCAAUACAUCUAAGGAAUAAUAUAUGACCACAGUGCCAUUUUCUUAAUCAAUCAGAUAUUCCAUGGUAAAGCUUUAAAAGGAAACCAAAAUGAACUUGAAUUCAAGAAAUUAAACCCAAAGAAGGAAGAGCCGGGAAUUUAUUUUCAUACCUGAAAUGGUAGUAGCCAAGCCCAUGUUUAACCCCAGACUUGAACCCCCCAACAUAGCAACUCCCAUCAGCACAAGUUUGAAUACCAACACCAUGACUUUGCCCAUUACACCAUUCACCAGCAUAAGAAUCCCCUGUAUAAAACCUAUAAACCCCAAAUCCAUGUCUUAAACCCUCUCUAUAUUGCCCUCUAUAUCUACUCCCUCUGCUCCAACUCUCUACUCCAUACCCAUCAUAUCUCCCAUCAACCCAAUCCCCUUCAUAUCUCCCAUUCACAAAAUAGUUAUAAACCCCACUCCCAUUACACUUCCCCUUAUGAAAUUCACCUUCAUAAAAAUCUCCAUUGCUGUAAAACUCCACUCCUUCUCUUACGGUCGGAAGAAGCCUUUCUUUUUCUUUGCUGAUGUUGUUUUUAUUACAUUGGGUCUCUCCAAUGAACCAUUCGACGGGCUUCGAAUUAGGUUUGGAGAAGUAGAACCUUGAUUUGAAACAAACAAUGCCUUGGUUGAUUAAAGCUUUGUUUUUUGAAGCUAAAAAAAGGGUUAUAGCGACGAAGAUUAAGGCUAACAAGAGGUUCUCCGAUGUGGGGAUUUCUUCUCUUUUAAGAUAAAACCCAAAGAAGAAGAUAAAAGAAAAGAGAGUGAAGAAAGAGAUGGAAGCCAUGGCGAAAACCGGGGUGAACCGGACCGGUAUAAUCCUCGGUGACAUCGAACCUGUUCUCUUUGGUGGCGGUUUCGUUUUUUUCUCAUCUUUCAGUAACGACUCUCGCUGCUGGUUUUCUUCUUGGUCUUUGCUAAAGUCACUUUCGGUGAUGGAUGACAUACUGUGGAUUGACGACCGGACGGUAGGCGAUGAACGGAGCAACGACGACUGUGUUCGCGUUAGCUUCCCCUGACUCUUUUGGCUCUCCAUUUUUCCCCUACCCUUUUUUAGAUUUUUUUCUCCUUGGGCCCCACCAGAUAAAUACCGGAGCCGUCCGAUUUGAUUAUCUUCUAUCACCACUGAGCUUCCCUAUACCGUGAGAUUCUUAUCACACUAGAAACCGCCGGCGACAUCUCAGGCGGCGCACGUCAAACCGGCUUUAUGUUAAACCGGGAACGGUCCAGAUGCGAAAAUAGAGAGACAGAGAUAUAUUUGCUUUGUAAAACUUCUUUUUUGGGAGUGAAUCUGGAGAAUUGAAGCGGGGGUUUUGAUUUGUAUUUAUGGUGUUAUAGGGGAAGUGGGGUGAUUCAAUUUAAGCCGUUAGAUUGGCGAGUUGAUCUCUCUGUUAAUAGCCGUUGGAUUGGAUCUUAACGGGAAGAUAUGGUCGUCGGAUCUAGAUUCGGUUUCGGCUUCUUUUUUACUUUACUUUUAGCGUGGCAGGCAGGGCCGGCCACGUGCCGCCACCUGAUUUUAUAAUUUCGAAUUGGAAAUGUUUUCCUUAUCACCGUUGAUCUUUGAUUGAUACAAUCAUCAUGUUUUGUACGGUUGAGAUUGGGUGGAGUGUCACGUGGGAUUUUUUUCCCUUGGAAUUAUAAUCAAUUGGCCGAAAGCAUUUUAAAAUGGAAUUAUCUUCUUUUUUCUUUUUUUUUUCUUUUUUUUUCAUUUUGUGGUAAAUUUUUGAUUUUGUAAUGAUAUGGUAGAUGUGGCAUUAAAUUAUUAACAUCUUUUUGGAAGGGAAAAUCCAAAUCCUAUUUUUUAAAGAUAUCCAUCCAUUAUUAUUAAAUUCGGUAAUUGUAAUAUGGUAUCGUGUUUUACUUUUUAACUAAUUUAUGUUCAUUAUUUAAUUAAAUUAAUUAUAUUGCAACUUACAAUUUUUGUCAAUCAUUUUAUUUAUUAGAUAAUCACACACUUAUGAUAUGAACAAAUUUAAAAAAAUCAUAUAAUAGUAAGAUGAUAAAGCUAGUUAAAUAUAGCUUUUUCUGAAACGGGAAAGUUAAGUUAAUAAAAAUCAUAAUUAGAAUUUCUUUUUUUUUUAAAUUUAACAUAGACUCUAAAUUUAAUAAUUGUCCUCGCAUUAAAGUUUGAAUUUUUUUCUUGUUCAAGUUAGUCUCUUGAAAAUUUUAAAGCUCAAACCUUAAUAUAAGAAUAAGAAUAAUUAUUAAGUUUAAAGACUAACUUAUACAAAAAAAAAAGUUCAAAACCCCAAUAUAAGAAUAAUUGCUAAAUUUAAGGCUUGAUUUGGACAAAAAAAAAAUAGGCCCAAUGUAGGAAAUGUUGUACAGUUCAAACCUCAAAUAAUGAUUUAACCUUAACCUUAAGUUGUAUAAAUAUCAAACCUAGAUAUUCUUAAUACCUGUUUUGUGGUUUAUAUUUGAAGCUCAUGUCUAUCCUUUCAAAUAAUAUUAUUUUCAUAAUUUAAAUUUAUACAUUUUUUGAGUAAUAUAAUAUACAUUAGUACUGCAUCCAACACUUAUUAAUUAUUAUUUCAAUAUUUAAAUUUAAUAUAUGAUUAAACUUUAAUAAAAAAUAUUAUAAUGAAAAAUUAAUAUCAUGGUAUAGCAAUUGGACCGCACAAGUUGAUAGGAAGGAAACUUAAGAACCGAGGUGAGGUCUUGUCUUCGGAAAUUUCCCCACAUCGUAUGGUUAUUUGCUGAUUAAUUGAAUGUUAUUUUCCACAACUAUUAAUUGGACUUUUGUUAGCUAAAAGGUAGGUAUGAAAUAUAAAUUCAUGUUUGAACUACAAUUUUUUUAGGGUUUGAAUCUAUGAUAGGUUUACAUGUAAUUAAUUUAAAAAUAAUAGUAACGGUAAAAUUAGUUACUGUAGUAAAUUUAUAGCGUAAGAUAAAAAGUAAGUUAAACACACCGUAUCAUCCAUCUAAACUCAUACUAAAUCUAUUAAAUUUUUAAAAAAAUAUUUAAUAAUUUUAAACUCGUCAGCAAAGUUUAAAAAAUGAGCUAUACUGUGGGUGGAGGAGAUGCCAGCAAUAAUUCAGAGGAUUGUGGUGACUGAAGAAUGGAAUACGUGUAGAAUCACCUAACGGGCUCGUCUGUGCUGGGAAAGAGUGCUCACUAGUGUUUGCUUGGAUCGCUUCAAACUAGAGCAUUUCAUCGAGUUUCUGUUGCGAGUUGAAACAUUUUUGUCUGGUAUGCGUGGGGUUGCGAGGGGAAGAAGAUGAAUUUUUCAUAUUUUUGAUGUUUUGACUGUUUGGAUGCAGACAUUUUAUUAAAAAAAGGUGAGCUAUAUUUCUUUCUAAAAUGUAAUAAAAGAAAUAAACAUAAAGAAUGGGUAACAUUUCAAGUCUGUUUAUCAAAUAUUAAUCCAAAUUUCUAAUGUAUUUGUGGGUUGAAAAAAAGAAAGUGAAAAAGUAACGAAGAAAAAUUCAAGGUUUUACAAAGUUCGAUGAUGAAGGUACAUGAUGAGAUAAUGGUUCCCUUCACUCAUGAUCCAUGCUAAAAAAAAGUUUUAGUAAUUUUUUAGUGCCAAAUUUAUGUUUUUUUUUAAUAAAUAAUUGUUAAAUUAGAAGGUUUAUAUCUAUCAUUUAACUUUAGUAUCUAUUGAGUGUAAUGGUAAGAUGCAUUAUACUUUCAAAGAGAGAAUACCCUAAACAUUGUAUCAUUGAUGUCUUAUAAAUAAAUAAUUGUUAAUUUAUGUUUUAUAAACCUUUGAGACGACAUUAUUAAGAGGAUAACAAUAAACUCUAUGGAUAAUACCAAAAAUAGAUAAGGGUCAUGUUCUUGGUUGAGUUAAGAUUUGUGUUGAAUUAAACCAAUUUGAUUAUAUAUCUAUAAUUUAAUUAUAAAAUAUAUUUAUUUUAUUUUAAACUUUGACAAGAUAAAUUAAAAAUAAAUAAAUUUAUACAUUAUAGAUUAGAUUAAGAAUAUAUUAUAUUUGUAUAUGUAAUGUUAAUCUCAUAAGUUUAAUUUUUAUUAAUUAUAAAAAGAAUAUCUUAACAUUAUUAAUUAUUAUCAUAUUUAAAUAAAAAUAUAUUUAUCCAAUUGUAUUCAAUAAUUUAUAAAAUAUUUUCAUAAUAAUAUAACUUUAUACAUAAAAUAUAUUUUAAUUAAAUUAAUAUUUAACUAAUUCGUAACAUCAACACAAUCGGAGUUUAAUAUAAGUAUAGAUAAAUAAUUGAAAUAUAAAAAAUUUUAAAAACAAAUUUAACCAUUAUAUUUGAGUAAUUUUUUUUUUAAAAAAAAUUCAUUGAAUAACAUAGAACAUAUUUUAAUAGAAAAGUAAAAUUGUGUCAACUUUUGUAGGCUCCCGCCUUGAAAGUUAAGCAUUUAAAAUUUGAAUUGAAUAAUUAAAAAUGAUGUCACAGUUAUUAUUUAUGUAAAAUAAAUAAACAAAAAUAUAUGUAGUAUUGUUUAUCACCUAAUGAUGUACUUUUGUGAUUGGACUCUUCUAAGUAUUGAUGGUAAAUUUUUUAUUUUUUAUGUGUUUAAUAGACUUCGUUGAAUCUGUGGGUAUAAUGUAAUUAAUAAUUAUCAGCCUUAAAAUUAAAUAAUUUUAAGUUGGAAUCAUCAUAGCAUUUUAAUGUUUUUUAUUUUUUUAUUUAUAAGAUUGUUUUGACUAAUAAUUUUUGUUUGGGACAAAUACUAAGUAUGGGUGGACUCAAAAUAUGAAACUGAAUUCUAAUUUUUUAGAAUAAAAUAUUUAAAAUUUUUAAAAAAUUUAAUAUUAUUUUAAAGUGUAAGAAUUGAGUUAUAAUUUUUUGUAAAAGAAAUAAAAUAUAAUUUUUCUAUCAAUUUGACUUUGAAUUAACAGUCGGAAAAUAAGGUUGUGACUCGAAAUAUACGGAAAUAUAUUGUUAUUUUAUUUAUUUUCUUUUUCUUUCCAAAUCCAAAUGUAGUGGGCCAAAUUUGCCCGGCCCGUUACAAACAAACCAAAAAUAAUAAUAAUAACCCAAUAAUAAAAGUCCAAUAUUAAACUUAACCAAAAUCUAAUCCAAAUACAAGACCAAAAUUUAAAUCUUAUAACAGUCCAAAACUAUUACAAAUAGCCCAAAUUCAAUAGCCUAGUUACAAGCCCGUUUGCAAAACCAAUCAGCUUCAUCUCUAACCUAUAACCCUGAUGGCCCAAUAGGCCCAAUACCUAAACCAAAUUUCAGAAACCCUAGUCUUUGCUUAGUACCGCAGCCUCCAGGCGUCGUACAACCCCCAGCCUCGCGCAGUACGACCGCCAACUACCUCCAGCAGCCACGCUCGCGCCUCCGUACGCCAGCACAGUACCCGUACCUGUAAAUACAGAAAAACGACAACAACAGAUAGGAGCAAAAAUUGUAUUUUUUUAUUUCUUUUUUUUUUUCUAUCUCUUCGGUUAUAAAGCCAAGAGAUUUCCUCUUUGUAAUGGGUUACGAAAAUAGAGGCAAUAUACGCAUAAUACGCAAUACAAAAAAAGCAACUGAUUAAGAGGUGAUUUCGAGCGCCAUAUGUUCUGCCUUUUUUUCUUCUGAAAAUUGUUUUUCAUCUUCAGAUCUAGCCCGUUUUCUUUUCUUUUUACAAAAAAAGUGAGAUAAGAACGAAGACUUACCUUCGUAUGUAAGCCACCGGGGUCUAUCAUCUUCGUCGACAUCGAAGUUUGAGCAGACUUCAAGGCCGAAAUUGGCAGACCUAAGCGCCGGACUCGGAACAGGGGAGAAAAGGGGCACCAUCGGAGGCCAUCAAUCAUUGUUCGUGAUGAUGAAGCCAUGGCUGAGUGGCGCACAGCAUUAGGGUUUCCCCUUCUCCAUCGGUUCGGCUGAAUCGGUUUUGUAUAUGUGUUUUACAUAAAAUUUAGAUUAUUUUUAUACUUAUUUAUAUUAGUACGUAUAUUUGAUUUUUAUAUUAUUAAAUCCAUGUAUUUUAUACAUAUAGUUCUCUCUUUAUAUAUAUAUAAGCAUGUCCUUAAAUCUAUUAUAUAAUUUGUUAUAAAAUUAAUUUAAGCUUGUAUGUAUUUCUAUGUUUUUACAAAUAAUUAUUUUUUAAAAAUUAUUUAUGUAUAUAUAUUUUGUAAAUCUAUUUUGUGUAUUAUACCUCAUCAUGUAUUUUAUUAUCCUUUCAUAUUAUAUAUUAUUUAAGUUAUCAUGUAUUUUGUCAAUUUUCAAAUGGAUUUGUUUUAAAAUAUUUUACAUGUAGUUUGAUUCAAAUUUUUAUUCCAUGAUAUCUGUUUCGAAAUCAUAUAUCCCAAGUUCCGAUACAAAUUUGUCAACCUAUAUAUCAUGUAUCCAUUUAUUCGUUAUUAUCUUAAAAUCGUUAUAGCACAUUGGCUCCUAAUUGCUAUUUUUUUGUUACAUCUUGCAUUAGUUAUUUUAUAUCAUGCUAUGUGUUGUGUGUAUUGUUUUGAUUAUAUUGAAUUGUUAUAUUGUUAUUUUCAGCAUUGUAUUAUUAUGUCAAUUAUUUCCCAUGCAUGAUUGCAAUCGGGUUACAUUUUUUAAGUUAGCUAUACUUAAUUUUUAGUUUGUUAAUUGAUUGUAUCUCAUGUGCGUAUUAUCCCAUAUCAUCGUUUUUCACUUGGUUUAUGAAAUUUGAUUUUAUAAGGUCCAAAUCUUUAAGAUUAAUUUUGUUUUAUUUCAAGUCGCAUUAACGAGUUUUAAGCUAUUUUUAUAAUCAUUCUUUUAAAAAUCCUUUAAAACGAAGGCGAUGUUCAAUAUUUGGCAAUUCGGGGAAUCGUGCCCUAACAUGUUGGGUUGCAAUUUCUCGUUUGCUCAAAAUAAUCGAAUGUCCCUUUAGAAUUUCAUUCAUGUUUCCUAAAAACCCUUUAAAACGAAAGUAAUAUUCGAUGUUUGGUAAUUUGGGGAGUCGUGCCCUAUCGUGCUGGGUUACGGUUUCCUGUUUGUCCAAAAUAAUUGAAUAUUCCUUUAAAAUUUUACUCAUGCUCUCUAAAUUCUAAAAUAAGGCAAUGUCUGAUAUCUAGAAAUUCGAUGAGUCGUGCCCUACUGUACUGGGUUUCGAUUUUCUCGUUGGACUAAACAAUCGGGAGGUUUUCAACAUAUAAAUUUUUGGAAGUCAAAAUUUAUCACGUUUUCGAGGUUAUAAAGGAUCAUGUCCUGUCGUGCUGGAUGUGAUGCCAUAUUCCUCUUAAGCACGAGGAUUUUGAUGACCAACUCGGGUUGUUCAAAUGUUAUUAAAAGGGACCGCACUUCAAAAACAUUUUUAAAUCUCAGACAUAAGGACAGUAUCUAAUCGAUUUGGUACUAAUCUUGGGCGUAAUGAGGGUGCUAAUCCUUCCUCAUACGAAACCGAAUCCCAAACCCGCUUUCUCAAAUUUCGAAGACCAAAAUCGUUGUUUUAGUAAGCCAAAAUGUUUUAUUAAAAUGACCAAAACUUAUUAGGUGAUCCAAUCACACCUGAACAAAAGAUUGGUGGCGACUUCAUUUUCGUUUUUCAAAAAGUCGAUUCCCUAUUUUUUUCAUUAAAUUUAAAAUUUUAAAAAGACGGUUUCGACAGCUUGGCGACUCCACUGGGGACCGAAUAGGAGAGUCUAGCCAUAAAAUUGAUUGUUUGCUGUCCUUUUGUCAAAAACUGAAAAUUUGUUUUAAAAAUCAUGUAUCUUUCAAAUGCAUUUGUUUGUAUGGUUGUUAUGGUUCGGGUAUCGUAGAAUAAUAUUGCAUUGCAUUGCAUGACCGCCGUGGUCACACCUUCUAAGUGGGAGUAAGAAACUAUGCUUUCAUGAGGUUUUCACCUCCGCAUAGGCUAGUGGAUUGCUUCCGGGGUACAUCCUUACCUAUGAUUUUGUAAAAUUUUCAUCUCCGCAUGGUCAUAGGGAAAUGUAUCCCCCUGAACCGAACUCGAUCUAUAUGAGCCUAUAAUGGAUGAGAAUUGAGGAAUCUACUGGUUCGGGUACCUUAUCUCUAGAAUCGAACCACAUAUAGUGAACCUUAAGAGCUAUCUUCGGGUGGAGCCGCGUCAAGCCUUAGUAUUUACUCGUAUAUACGUUGUAAUUAUCGUUUAUGUGCUUGCACUUUAUCACUAUUAUUUGAUACUAACCUAUGUUUUGUUUUGACUGUGUUUUGCAUAACAUUGCAUACUAAAGGAGGUGUUGAUUCGUAUUCAAUUAUUAAGUUAGAAAGUUUGACAUGGAGAAUGAGUUUCUUAGUAAAGUCGAGGAUACUGCGGCCGUUCGUGCAUGGUCAGAGAAGCUACAAUAAGAGAAAGGGGAUAGCUUGGCAGAAGGAUAUAUAUCGGAGUUGCAGGAAUUCACCCGCGUCAAUGUAGCAUAGAAUAAGCUGCAAGAGUUGAGAGAUAUAUGGGCUCGUUGGGAUGAAGAGACCAAGAAGUUGUUUUAUCAAAGCUAUGGUGAUAUAUCUUACUUUCUAGACAUUAGAGUGGAUAAGCAUCUAUUCCGAGUUAUGGUUCAGUUUUGGAACUUUGCUUACAAGUGUUUCACUUUUGGAGAAGUGGAUUUAGUACCUACCAUGGAGGAAUAUACUGCUCUGCUUAGGUUUCCGAAAAUUCAGGUUAGAAAGACUUAUGCCAGGGUUUUUAAUGGUCAGACUUUCGCGAAAAAGUUGAUGAGCAUUUCAGGGAUGAGCGGGCCUUAGGUCACUACUCGGAUUCAACAAAAAGGAGAUAGUAAAUGUAUCCCUUGGGAGAAUUUGUGAGAUUUGGUUUUAACGCAUCUAGAUGAAAAAAAGAGGGUCGAUAUAUUCACCUUAAGCAUCUACGGCUUGGUAAUUUUUCCUAAGGCUUUGAGGCACGUGGACGAGGCAGUCAUUGACUAAUUCAAUCGUCUUGAGAAAGGGAUCACACCUAUACCAGCAAUAUUGGCUGAGACGUUCAGAUCCCUGAGCAUGUGUCGGGAGACGGGCGAGGGGCGGUUUAUUGGAUGUGCUCAAUUAUUGAUGGUAUGGUUUCAUGGGCACUUUUGGAAGAUGGACAAGGUUUCUUAUCAGGUCUUUUCCGAAGGUUAUUCCCCAUUAAAAGAGGAGGCCGCCAUACAAAAUAGAGAGGAUAUCUCAGAUGAGAAGUGGAUGGAAAUUCUUCAAAACCUCAAGGAGGAGGAUAUCGAGUGGAGAGCUUAUUGGAUGGUCCCUGGUGAGAUCAUAUAUCGAUGUGGGAACUUUCAUUGGGUGCUGUUGUUAGGAAUUUGGGGAGCUACUGGGUAUACACCAUUGCUUGCGUUAAGAUAAUAUAAAUCGAGGCGGUUUGUACCCACGACCUACGAACUUACUUAGUGUGAAUUCUCCUUUAAAGGUGCCCACUAUAAGAAGAAAGUUCGGGAGCUAUCGGAUGCUUGGAAGCAAACUUGUUGGAUGAAGAGGUUGGCCAUCGGUUCUAUGGUGACACCUGAGUAUGAUGGAUGGUUUAGGAAGAGAGUCAAUGAUAAUGUCCCUAGACCUAGCUCAGAAAAUACUUGACCUAUGGUGGAACAACUACAAAUCGCCCCUUCAGAGUUGGAAAUUAUAAAGCAAGACUUCAAGAAGAAGAGUUCAGAGUUUGGGAAAAAGAUCGAACAAUUAGAGGAAAAGAAUAUGCAUCUGAGAUUAGACGCUGAUGUCCAGAGGUCAGAGGCUGAGAAGUGGAGAAAAGGGAAAACUAAGGUCGAAGAAGAUCUAGACAGCUUGAAGACUGACUAUAAAAAGUUACGCCUGUCUAUGAGGAUUGCGGGGUUAGGUAAGACUUUCGAACAAUGGCGCCAUGAAAUUCGAGAAGAAAAGGCCAAGGCCGACCGAUGGGAAAAGAAAUUCUGAGAAGUUCAGGCACGAAAUGAAGAUUUAGAGAAGAGUCUGUCAGAAAGCAGAAAUGAACAAAGUGAAUUAAAGGCUAGAGUGGCAGAAUUUGAGAAGUCUCUUCAUCAGUACCGAAACCGCAACACCGCAAUGGAAUUGAGCGCAAGCUUGAGCAAGAUAGAAGAAAUGAAGGGAAAAAUAAAAGAAUUAGAAGCGUCAAUGCAAAACUGUGAGAUACGGAUUCAGUUUUUCGAGGUAAAUGAGGACCGUUGGAAAGAGCAGCUUCACCAUGCGCAAGACCAAGUCAAAAACAGGGAUUACCUUAUGGGGGAAGCCAUAACCUAGAUUCGGGAGGUAGCUGACUACUUGCAAGCUUUAGCGGUACAGGCGGACACACUGAGCGUGAAGUACGAGUUGGAGUCAGAUGGGGGCAGGAGUGGGCCUCAUUGCUUAGGAAAAUUAAGACUUUAAGCAUUAGAGCAAAGUUUUAUUUGUAACUCAACUUUAUGUAAAAGAAUUUUAUUUUCUAUUGAAGUUUUCUAAAGGGAAUUGAAUCAAAAUUGAUGCCUCCUUUGCAUUCAUGCAUUUGCAUUACAUCACAUCAUUAUGCAUUAAAGGUCAUAAACGGGUUCUAAUUAAUUAAAAAAUCAUUUCAGUAAUCUGGAAACCAACGAAAACCAACCGACUACGCACCCCUACGGUAUAAGGAAAAAGUCAAUGGAUAAAAGACUUAAAAAAUUGGAGCAAAUGCAAAAAGACAUGCAGAAACAAAUGUAGUUUCAGAUACAAGAGCAGCUAGCCAAGAUUCAGCGAGAGAUGAAGGAGCAAAUGAUGGAAUCCCAAAGAGAGAUGAUAAGUCAAUUAUCCCAAUUGCUGAUGGGAAUAACUGAUAAAGGAAAGGGCCCUAUGGACAAUGUUGAGGAAACUAAUGAAGAUCCUCAAUACCCCCUGGCUUCACUCCAACAUGUGCACCAAUGAAGCCCGAGAUUAAUCUACAAACACCAUCUGUUACGAUUAUGCCUCAGCAGAUUCAGGCUGGAGCUUCGAUACCGAUGAAUUUCCAAGCUAGCUCAGGCUCUAACCUUGUUAACAACCCGAAUUAUCCACCCGUUCCCGAUUUAGACGAAGUUGCAGAAGAAGAAAAUACGAGGGUAGAAUCGCAAAAACAAUUGGAAGAACAUUGUAAAUGGCUGGAGGAAAAAUUCAGAGCUAUAGAAGGCGUGGAUAAUCAUUAAGGGAUCGAUGCUAAAGACCUGAGUUUGGUCCCAGACUUGGUCCUACCCCCAAAAUUCAAAAUGCCUCAAUUUAAGAAAUACAAUGGAACGAGCUGCCCUGAAGCUUACAUUACUAUGUUCUGCAGGCGAAUGACGGUAUACGUUAACAACGACUAGCUAUUAAUUCAUUGCUUUCAAGAUAGUCAAGUAGGGAUGGCGUUUAAGUGGUAUAACCAAUUGAGCCGCGCUAAAAUUAACUCAUGGAAAGACCUGGCUCAGGCCUUUAUGAAACAAUAUAAUCAUGUGACGAACAUGACUCCUGACAGGAUCACUCUCCAGAAUAUGGAGAAGAAAUCAAAUGAAAGUUUCAGGCAGUACGCACAAAGAUGGAGAGAAGUGGCCAUACAAGUUCAACCGCCGUUUCUAGAAAAGGAAACCAUGAUGCUCUUUAUUAACACCUUAAAAGCCCCUUUUAUCACUCAUAUGUUAGGAAGCACCACCAAGAGCUUCUUAGACAUAGUGAUGUCGGGUGAAAUGAUUGAAAACGCUGUGAGGAGCGGUAAGAUAAAAGCAAGAGAAAGUAACAAAAAGUCAACCCGAGGAAAAGAGAUAAUAAAGUGAACAACACGAGCACAUUCAGUAAGGGUCAGUCCAAGUCACUCACCGUAAAUUAACCAAAAACGGUGACCACCAAUCAGCACAGCACUGUGAGACAAGAAUCCAAUGCGAGGGUGAACACAGAAAGGCCACAGUUCACCCCUAUACCCAUGACGUAUAGGGAGUUGUACCAGAACCUAUUGAACGCUCAUGUAGUGUCCCCUUUUUACCUGAAGACACUGCAGCCCCCGUAUCCCAAAUGGUAUGACACAAACGCCCAAUGUGAAUGCCACGCGAGAAUCACCGAGUACUCAAUUGAAAACUGCACCGCGUUCAAGAAAGUAGUCAAAAGACUUAUUAAAAUGGAGAUUGUGAGGUUUGACGGCCCAGCUGUACCCAAUGUAGCAGGAAAUUCGCUCCCCAAUCAUACCGACCAUUGAGUGAAUGAGAUAAGCGAAGGCAAGAACAAGAAGAUCAAAAGUGAGGUUGCAGAAGUCAGGACUCCAUUGAGACGGAUGUGGAAGGAGAUGGUCAAGAGAGGAUUGAUCGCGUUGGAUUCAAGGGAAGAAUUUGAAGAAGAGAGGAACUACACGAGUUUCACGAUGAGGUGGGGCAUGAAAUCCAAGAGUGUGUGGAGUUCAAGGCCUUAGUACAGAACAUGAUGAACAAUAAAGAAAUGGAGUUUUAUGAAGAGACUGGAAACCCCGGAGAGGGAGAUAUAUGUGCACCAGAGGGAGAAUCAACGACGUAGAAUCAAACAGCUAACUAUCCCGUGGUAAUCAUAUCACGACCCAAAAAUAAUGAAGUUGGAAUGCAAAUGCCACCGAGGGUCAUAAUCUAGAGACCUGCAGUCUUCCCCUAUAAAGACAGCAGAAGGGUCCCAUGAAAUUAUGAUUGUAACGUGAUGAUUCCGGAAAAGGAAAGCCUGGUUGACGCUUCAAAAGAGGACCAAGAUAGGGGCUCCUAUACACGUAGCAGGAGACGUUACGAUAUAGCAAGCGAGAAGGCACAACCCCUAAAAGGAAAAGCCCCAGUAGUCGAAGAUAUAAAGGAAAAAGCGACCAAAUCUGAAUUCUUGUUAAUGAGCCAGUCAACGGGGAGGAGGCUAAAGAGUUUUUGAAAUUCUUAAAACAAAGUGAGUACAGUGUGAUGGAACAGCUACGUAAACAACCAGCUCGUAUCUUUGUGCUGGCCUUACUCCUGAGUUCGGAAGUCCACCGCAGCGCGCUGAUAAAAGUCCUGAAUGAAACAUAUAUUGCCAAUGAUAUCUCUGUCAACAAGCUGGACUGCUUGGUCUGCAACAUAAGUGCUGAUAAUUAUAUCUUCUUCAAUGACGAGGAGAUACCACUUGGUGGCAUGGGGUCGACUAAAGCUUUGUAUAUUACCACGCGCUGUAAGGGGUAUACGCUGCCAGGCGUACUGAUUAACAAUGGGUCGGCCUUGAACAUCCUGCCAUUGACUACGCUAAACAGAUUACCUAUAAACAGCUCUCACAUGAAGGAGUGCCAGAACAUAGUGAAAGCAUUCGAUGGGAUGGAGAGAAGGGUGAUGGGCAGAAUCGAGGUACCUCUUCAGAUCGGGCCAGACACAUAUGAGGUGGAUUUCCUAGUGAUGGAUAUCAAGCCCUCAUACAAUUGCUUAUUGGGGAGCCCCUGGAUACAUUCAGCUGGGGCAGUGCCUUUAUCGUUGCAUCAAAAGUUGAAGCUGGUAUCAGAAGGGCGGUUGAUAACGAUCAAUGCUGAAGAGGAUAUCAUUGCAACUGUAAGCAGUAAUGCGCCCUAUUUGGAGACAGAUGACGAAGCAAUCGAAUGCUCAUUUCGGUCUUUAGAGUUUGUUAAUACGACGUUCAUCACCGAGGGAAGCAAGAUUCUGAUGCUAAAAUUGUCCAAAACUACGAGGAUGAGUCUACAGUUGAUGGUUGGAAAAAGGGCUUACCCGGAAUAGGACUUGGGAGACAUCUCUAAUGAAGGAUUGAAACGCCGGUAUUGAAGGACAAGGGAGACCGUUUCAGCUUAGGAUUUAAGCCAGAUGUGAGACAAAUGAGAAAGGAGCUGGAAAAGAAGCAAGAAAGAAGGAGAGCACGGUCAAGGGGGGAGGAAAUCAAAUGGGAGCCAAUGGUAUUCCCUCAUAUAUCGAAAACUUUUGUGUCCGGAGGAAUAAUUCAUCCCGAGAGAGGCACGCCAAUGAAAGGAGUCAUAGAAGAAAGGUUGGAAAGGUUGGACAUCAACGCCACAUACGAAGAAGGGACUGGAAGAGAAAAUUUGUCGGGAAUUUGCCCCUACAUACGUGGAAGUGUUCUGGAUAACUGGACUAUGGAAGAGAUCCUGUAGUUUUUAGAACUGAUUCAGAUUAAUGUCCAAAACACACUUAUUACUCUAGGCCUAGGAGUAAUAAGAAUCUUUUGUGAAAUAGACUGAUGUUUAAAAACGUUAUUUCAAUAAAAUGCACGGUUAUUAUCAUUUUGAGCAGAUGUUCUUUCAUUCUCUCAAUUUCAUUCAUAAUCAUACAAACUAUUACUUUCAGAUUCUUUUGUUUUUCGAACAUUCUUCUAAAUAUUCUUUCAUUCUUCGUUCAUAAUCAUACCAUACAGAUAAGUGUUCUUGAAUUCUUUUGAUUCUUUGUAUAUUCCUUCAUCCUCAUAAUAGGUUCCCAGAUAUCAAUGAUACGAGUGACACUGCUAGUGGCUCAGAAUCUCCUUUUGAGUGAGAUGUGUGUAUGGAGGAUUCUUAGGAUUUCGAAGAUGACCAAGGCUGUAACUUAUCUCCUGAUUUGUUGAGGAUGGUAGAACAAGACGAGAAACAAAUCCUACCUCAAAAAGAACCAGUGGAAAUUGUGAGCUUAGGAGAGGGACAAGAUGUGAAGAUCAGGACUUGUAUCACCAUGGAGAUGAAGUGAAACCUUAUUGAAUUACUUCAGGAAUUCAAAUAUGUCUUCGCAUGGAUAUGCUUUGUUGAGGAUGGUAGAACAAGACGAGAAACAAAUCCUACCUCACAAAGAACUAGUGGAAAUUGUGAGCUUAGGAGAGGGACAAAAGGUGAAGAUCGAGACUUGUAUCACCAUGGAGAUGAAGCGAAACCUUAUUGAAUUACUUCAGGAAUUCAAAGAUGUCUUCGCAUGGAUAUGCCCGGGUUGAACACUGAUAUUGUGGUGCACUGACUCCCCAUAAAGGAAGAAUGUAAGCCAGUUCAGCAAAAACUCCGAAGAAUGAGGCCCAACGUCUUGCUAAAAAUAAAAGAAGAGAUUCGAAAGCAGUUUGACGCUGGAUUUCUAAAGGCGGUAAAAUACUCAGAUUGGGUAGCCAACAUCAUCCCCGUCCCUAAGAAAAAUAAAAACGUGCGAAUGUGUAUGGACUACAGAGAUUUGAACAAAGCCAGCCCGAAGGAUAAUUUCUAACUGCCUCAUAUUGACACCUUAGUGGACAACACGGUAGGCCACUGACUGUUCUCAUUUAUGGAUGGUUUCUCCAGAUAUAACCAAAUCAAAAUGCAUCCUGAAGACAUGAAGAAGACCACAUUUGUAACCAUGUGGGGCAUGUUCUGCGACAAAGUGAUGACGUUUGGGUUGAAGAAUACGGGGGCAACAUAUCAAAGGGCCAUGGUAACCCUGUUUCACGAUAUGAUGCACAAAGAAAUUAAAGUUUAUGUCGAUGAUAUGAUUGCAAAGUCCCGAACUGAGAAAGAGCACGUACAAGUCCUUAGGAAGUUGUUCUUAAGGUUGAGGAAGUUCCAAUUAAAACUCAAUCCAGCCAAAUGUACUUUCGGAGCCAAGUCUGGAAAGCUUCUCAGAUUCGUGGUUAGUGAAAAAGGGAUUGAGAUUGAUCUUGACAAAGUCAAAGCCAUACAAGAACUAUCUCUGCCGCGUAUACAGAAAGAGGUUCGAGGUUUUCUAGAAAGAUUAAAUUACAUUGCUCGGUUCAUUUCACAAUUAACUGAGAAAUGUUACCUUGUCUUCCGCCUCCUAAAGAACACGACCCAGGUGAAUGGGAUGAAGAAUGCCAAAGGGCUUUCGACAAGGCCAAACGGUACUUAUCCAACGCUCCAGUGUUGAUGCCACCUAGCCGCGAUAAGCCAUUGAUAUUGUAUCUGGCGGUAUUUGAGAAUUCUAUGGGAUGCGUACUGGGUCGGCAUGACGAGUCAAGAAGGAAAGAAAGAGCUAUUUACUACCUUAGUAAAAAGUUCACUGACUGUGAGACAAGGUAGCUGCCGAUAGAGAAGCUGUGUUGUGCCCUAAUUUGGACAACUCGAAGGCUGAGGCAGUAUAUGUUGUACCAUACUACUUGGCUUAUCUCAAAACUAGACCCUUUAAAGUACAUGAUGGAGUCGACAGCUUUGAAUGGAAGGAUGGCCCGAUGGCAAAUUCUGCUCUCCGAAUUCGACAUAGUCUAUGUAAACAAGAAAGCAGUAAAAGGGAGUACAAUAGCAGAUUUUCUGGCUAGUAGAGCUUUAGAAGAUUACGAGCCUUUGAACUUCGAUUUCCCGAAUGAAGACCUGAUGUGUGUUGUAACCACUGAAGAAGGUGCUCCGGAAGAACUUCCUUGGAAACUAAACUUCGAUUGCGCAUCAAAUGCCGUGGGUAAUGGAAUCGGGGCAGUCUUAGUAUCCCCAAAUGGAGAUCAUUAUCCAUUCACCAGUAAAUUGGAUUUUUAUUGUACAAAUAGCAUGGCGGAAUACGAAGCCUGCAUAAUGGGUAUCCGUGCAGCCAUAGAAUGCAAGAUUAAAGUGUUCGAGGUGUAUGAAUAUUCUACACUAGUGAUUUAUCAAUUCAAGGGAGAAUAGGAGACCAGGGAUCCCAAGUUGGUCGAUUAUCGAAAAUUGGUCCUUCAAUUGGUUAAAGAGUUCGAUGGCAUUACCUUCUGCUACCUUCGGCGGGAUGAAAAUCAGAUGGCCGAUACUUUGGCCACCUUAGCCUCCAUGAUCAAGGUGAAUAAACAAGAAGAUGUCAAACCCAUCCGGAUAAGCAUUUAUGAAAUUCUGGCCCACUGUUACAAUAUUGAGGAAGAUGAAGAGAAAGAUGAUCACCCUUGGUAUCAUGAUAUAUUGCAAUACGUGAAGAAUCGUGAGUACCCGGACGAGGCAAGCGAGAAUGACAAAAGGACGUUAAGAAGAUUGGCCAUUGACUAUGUUUUAGAUGGGGAAUCCUAUACAAAAGAAAAAAGGAUCAAGUGUUAUUAAAAUGAGUAGACGCUGUAGAAGCUAAGAAAAUUUUAGAAGAAGUCCAUGAAGGCGUCUGUGGGACACACGCUAAUGGCUUAACAAUGGCCAGGCAAAUUAUGUGAUUCGGGUAUUAUUGGUCCACUAUGGAAGGAGAUUGUGUCAAUUACGCCAAGAGAUGUAAUAAAUGCCAAAUCUAUGAAGACAAAAUUCAUGUGCUUCCUUCGCCGCUGCAUGUCAUAACUUCCUCAUGGCCUUUCCCUAUGUGGGGCAUGGAUGUGAUUGGACCAAUAUCACCGAAAGCUUCCAAUGGGCAUCGAUUCAUCUUUGUGGUUAUCGACUACUUCACCAAAUGGGUAGAAGCCAUUUCAUAUGCCAACGUUACAAAGUCGGCAGUGAGUAAAUUCCUGAAAAAAGAGAUCAUGUGUGGAUAUAGAAUACCGGAGAGGAUCAUAUCUGACAAUGCGUUAAAUCUGAACAACAGUACGAUAGCGGAAGACUGCAGUCAAUUCAGGAUCAGACAUCACAAUUCGUCACCAAAUCGACCAAAAAUGAAUAGGGCAGUGGAAGCGGCCAAUAAGAACAUCAAGAAGAUUGUGGGGAAAAUGACUAAGACCUACAAAGAUUGGCAUGAGAAGUUACCAUUUGCCCUCUUUGCUUAUCGAACAUCAGUAGAACCUCAACUAGGGCAACGCCUUUCUCUUUGGUCUACGGAAUGGAAGCGGUUUUUCCAAUCGAAGUCGAGAUCCCGUCCCUUCGAGUGUUGUUAGAACUAAAGUUGGAUGAAGCAGAGUGGAUUCAGUCUUGAUAUGAUCAAUUGAACUUGAUUGAGGAAAAGAGGCCAAUAGUUAUCCGUCAUGGCCAGAUGUACCAACAACGAAUGAUGCGGGCUUAUGAAAAAAAGGUCCACCAGAGGGAAUUCCAUGAGGGAGACCUGGUUUUGAAAAAGAUCCUCCCCAUACAGAAGGAUUUUAGAGGAAAAUGGAUGCCUAAUUGGGAGGGACCCUACGUGGUGAAGAAAUCUUUCUCCGGAGGAGCAUUGAUUCUAGCCGAGAUGGAUGGUAAAAACUUGUCCAAUCCUGUAAAUUUAGAUUCUGUCAAGAAGUAUUUUACCUAAAGAGGGAGAGGCUAAGGUGAAAACCCGCAAAGGGCACCCUGAAACCCUAAAAAUAAAAAGAAAGAGGAUAAGGCAAAAACCCGCAAAGGACGCUUUGAGACCAAAGGGGUUUUUGAGUUGAAAACUCGAAAACGGGCAGCUCAAAUUUUGAACAUGGGGCAUGUGGUAGUCUUGUACUCUCAAAAUUAACAAGAGGGAAGAACAGUACACCUUGAAGCAUCAACAAAAUACGUGGGAUCUCCUGAACACACAUUUAGUUCGAAGGAGCCUUUGAGAAAUUAAAAUAGUGAAACUCGUGCUGCGAUAUCUGGAGUACCUUUUUUCCUCAUUUUAUUUUGUGCCUUAGCAGACUUGCUAUCCUGUUUAAUGUAUUCACUUCGAGUUUUGCUCAAUAAAAUUCCAUCUUGUCCAUUAUGAUAGUCUCUUUCAAGCAUUUUGUUGAAAUCACGAUUUUUGAACUUUUAAUAUUCAUACAAAAGAAGUUAUGCAUAUUACCCUGGAAGGUUUCUAAAUAGUACAAGGACCUGAAACAGGGCCACUAGUCAGAACUAACUAGACUAAAAAAUGGGAAACAUUGGAAAAAGAAUAGUCCAAAUUGUGACUAUUUCUUCAAAUUCUCUGUCAAAGAUAACGGCUAAGCAAGAAGACGCUAUAGCGCAUCAAUGAUAGAACCCAGAUGUAAUAUGAGCAUUGAUACCUCAAGCAUUUAAAAAGGAAUUACUCUCAUGACAUUUCUACAUUCAUAAUCAUUCAUUUAGUUAGGAGCACUUGAUUCAUUUCGAUCAUAGCAUUCUAAUUAUCUGACAGAAGCACCAUAUCUAGUUAGGAACAUUUGAUUCAUUUCGAUCAUAGCAUCCUAAUUAUUUGACAUACGCAUAAGCCUAUGAAAAUGGUUCUACAAAUAUUGUCUCCCUGAAGUUACAGUGGAGCAGAUCGAAGACGGUAAAUCUUGUCUUCCUGAAGUUACAGUGAAGCAGAUUUAAGCCACCAUCCUAGCUACCUAAAGUUGUAGUGGAGUAGGCUGAAGAUUACAGAUCUUGUCUCCCUAAAGUUACAGUGGAGCAGAUCGAAGAUGGCAAAUCUUGUCUUCCUAAAGUUGCAGUGAAGUAUAUUUAAGCCAUCAUCCUAGCUCCCUAAAGUUGUAGUGGAGUGGGCUGAAGAUUGUAGAUCUUGUUUCCCUAAAGUUAUAGUGGAGUAGAUCGAAGACGGCGAAUCUUUUCUCUCUGAAGUUGCAGUGGAGCCGAUUUAAGCCACCAUCCUAGCUUCCUAAAGUUGUAGUGGAGUAGGCUGAAUAUUGUAGAUCUUGUUUCCCUGAAGUUGUAGUGGAGCAGAUCGAAGAUGGCGAAUCUUGUCUCUCUGAAGUUGCAGUGGAGUAGAUUUAAGCUACCAUCCUAGUUCCCUAAAGUUGUAGUGGAGUAGGCUGAAGAUUGUAAAUCUUGUUUCCCUGAAGUUGUAGUGGAGCAGAUCGAAGACGGUGAAUCUUGUCUUCCUAAAGUUGCAGUGAAGCAGAUUUAAGCCACUAUCUUAUCCCCCUGAAGUUGCAGUGGAACAGAUCAAAGUCACAAUCCUUACCUAUCUGAAGUUGCAAUAGAGCAGGAUGAAAAUACACGAACCAUACCUCUCUAAAGUUGCAGUGGAGCGUAUUGAAGCUACUUGAAGAAAACAAGCGCCAAGAAGUCGAGACUCAAUAGGUUCUGGCAAAAUUGGCCCAUUUAUAGUCUUUGCUCUAUUCUCGUUAGACGACAGUGAGCAAAGAAGGGCAGCUGUAGUGGGCCAAAUUUGCCCGGCUCAUUACAAACAAACCAAAAACAAAAAAAUAAAAAUAAAAACCCAAUAAUAAAAGUCCAAUAUUAAACUUAACCAAAAUCUAAUCCAAAUACAAGACCAAAAUUUAAAUCUUAUAACAGUCCAAAACUAUUACAAAUAGCCCAAAUUCAAUAGCCUAGUUACAAGCCCGUUUGCAAAACCAAUCAGCCCCAUCUCUAACCCAUAACCCUGUUGGCCCAAUAGGCCCAAUACCUAAACCAAAUUUCAAAAACCCUAGCCUUUGUUUAGUACUACAGCCUCCAGGCGCCGUACAACCUCCAGCCUCGCGCCGUAUGACUGCCAGCUACCUCCAGCAGCCACUCCCGCGACUCCAUACGCCAGCACAGCACCCGUACCUGUAAAUACAGAAAAAUGACAACAACAGAUAGGAGCAAAAAUUGUAUUUUUUUUAUUUCUUUUUAUUUUUUUCUAUCUCUUCGGCUAUAAAGCCAAAAGAUUUCCUAUUUGUAAUGGGUUACGAAAACAGAGGCAAUCAUCGCACAAUACGUAAUACAAAAAAAGCAACUGAUUAAGAGGUGAUUUUGAACGCCAUAUGUUCUGCCUUUUUUUCUUCUGAAAAUUAUUUUUCAUCUUCGGAUCUAGCCCAUUUUCUGUUCUUUUUACAAAAAAGGAGAUAAAAACGAAAACUUACCUUCGUAUGUGAGCCACCGGGGUCUAUCAUCUUCGUCGACAUCGAAGUUUGAGCAGACUUCAAGGCCAAAAUUGGCAGACCUAAGCGCCGGACUCGGAACAGGGGAGAAAAGGGGCACCAUCGGAGGCCAUCAAUCAUCGUUCGUGAUGAUGAAGCCAUGGCUGAGUGGCGCACAGCAUUAGGGUUUCCCCUUCUCCAUCGUUUGUGAUGAUUGCAAUCGGGUUACAUUUUUUAAGUUAGCUAUACUUAAUUUUUAGUUAGUUAAUUGAUUGUAUCUCAUGUGCGUAUUAUCCCAUAUCAUCGUUUUCCACUUGAUUUAUGAAAUUUGAAUUUAUAAGGUCCAAAUCCUUAAGAUUAAUUUCGUUUUAUUUCAAGUCGCAUUAACGCUUUUUAAGCUAUUUUUAUAAUCAUUCUUUUAAAAAUCCUUUAAAACGAAGGCGAUGUUCGAUAUUUGGCAAUUUGUGGAAUCGUGCCCUAACAUGUUGGGUUACAAUUUCUCGUUUGCUUAAAGUAAUCGAAUGUCCCUUUAGAAUUUCAUUCAUGUUUCCUAAAAACCCUUCAAAACGAAGGUAAUAUUCAAUGUUUGGUAAUUCGGGGAAUCGUGCCCUAUCGUGCUGGGUUGCGAUUUCCUGUUUGUCCAAAAUAAUCGAAUAUUCCUUUAGAAUUUUACUCAUGCUCUCUAAAUUCUAAAAUAAGGCAAUGUCUGAUAUCUAGAAAUUCGAUGAGUCGUGCCCUAUUGUGCUGGGUUUCGAUUUUCUCGUUAGACUAAAUAAUCGGGCAUCCUUUUGAGGUUUUCAACAUAUAAUUUUUUGGAAGUCAAAAUUUAUCACGUUUUCGAGGGUAUAAAGGAUCAUGUCCUGUCGUGCUGGAUGUGAUGCCAUAUUCCUCUUAAGCAAGAGGAUUUUGAUGACCAACUCGGGUUGUUCAAAUGUUAUUAAAAGGGACCGCACUUCAAAAAUAUUUUUAAAUCUCAGACAUAAGGACAGUAUCUAAUCGAUUUGGUACCAAACUUGGGCGUAAUGAGGGUGCUAAUCCUUCCUCAUAUGUAACCAACUCCCGAACCCGCUUUCUCAAAUUUCGUAGACCAAAAUCGUUAUUUUAGUGAGCCAAAAUGUUUUAUUAAAACGACCAAAACUUAUUAGGUGAUCCAAUCACACCUGAACAAAAGAUUGGUGGCGACUCUAUUUCCGUUUUUCAAAAAGUCGAUUCCCUGUUUUUUUCAUUAAAUUUAAAAUUUUAAAAAGACUUUGACACCAAAGAUUACCUUACUUCAUAUCUAAUUUCAAUAAUUUUUUAAGAAAAUGGUAUUACUAAUAGCAAUUAUGAGCAAUAUAGUAUAUUAUAAAUUGAAGUAUAGAAUAAGUCUAAUUGUUAGUUUAAAUAAUUAAAUCGAAAUUGUCAAGAGAGGGGUGGAUUGACUUUUAAAAAUUUUAUUAAAGUUAGAGAGAAAAGAUAGAAAAAUUAACACAAAAAUUUAGAGUGGUUCGACCCAAAUUACUUAUUCUACUACUUUAGCUUUUCAUAACUAAGAAUUUUCUCAAAUUCACUAAUUUCAUAAAUUUUAAAGACUAUAUUUAACUUUACAAACUAUCCUACGAUUUUUACCCAAACCUUAAGACGCAAACCUUCUCAAAGAGAUACAAAGAAGAAAACAAAUAAGCAAUCUUUACAAUAUCAAAGUGUUUGUAAAUUAAGUACAAAAAAAAAAACACUUGAGCUAAUAGAACAACAAUGAAGCUCACAAGUGUAUAAAAGAAAAGUAUGAAAUAUUUGACACAUAGGUUGUUUGAUUGAUCUUUUUGCUUGAAUAUUCUUUCUUCUUGUUGUAUGCCAUUUAGAAGCUUAUAUUUAUAUCCUCUAUUUCAUUUUUAACCAUUGUAGUUGUUGAGGAAAUAAAUAGAGUCGUUGGAGAUAAAAAAUAGUAGAUCAUUAAAUUCAUCCGUAACAAAAAGUAUCAAUACAUUUUUUACGAGUAUUGGUUCUAGUAGCAUUUAAUGUUAGUUUUCAACUAUACAAAAGAUGAUUUAUCGGAUACUUGGUAAAAUGUAUUGAUAUAAUCAAGGGCGAAGCCAGAAUAAAUAUUUAGGGGGGCCGGAUAAAAUUUUAAUUUUUUAUAAUUUAUAUCUUUAUAAUUUGUAAAUGAUUAAAUCAAAUUUUUAUAACUUUUAGGGGGCCAAAGUGCAAUUUCACCAUUACUAAUUUAAAAUUUUUUUAAAAAAAUUAAGGGCCAAAAGAGCAAAUUUACAUUUUAAGGGGGGCCGGGGCCCAUGCCAGCCCCCUUGGCUUCGCCCCUGGAUAUAAUUUUAAUGAGUAUCAAUACUUUUUGUCAUUGUUUGAAAAUUCAUAAAAAUAGAAUGCAAAAGUGGUAUCGAUAUAAAAAGAUGGUAUUGGUAAAAAUUUAAUAGGUAUCGAUAUCAUUUGAAAAGUUUUGAUACUUAUUACUUUUGUUUAUUCAAGAGACUAAGCAACUUUGGUAUCGAUAAAAAUCAUACAGGUAUCAAUAAUUUUUGAAAAACAUCAAUACUUUCUUGGAGAGCAAUUUUUCAAGUGAUUUAAAAUUGUUUCUAUCGAGUUCAAGAGUUUAAAACAGUUUUUGGACUUUGUCCAAAAUUUUCUAAGUAUUCAAAAUAUUUUCUAAGAUAUUUGAAAGUCUUGAAAUAAUUUUUAUUCUUUGAACUUAAUAAUUUAUUUGUUUAAAAAUAAAUUUUAUUCAAAAACAUUUUGUUUGUUAUAUCAAAAAAAUAUCAAAUAAAUCUAGUUUAACAAUCUCCCCUUUUUUGAUAUAACAAAACAUUUCGGUAAAUUUAUUUUUGAAUGUUUUACUUUUUCUUAUUAGAGUUCAAUUUGAAUCAAUGGUUUAAUUUUAUGAAUUUAAAAGCAAUGACUUGAGAAUUGGUCACUUUAAUGUUGGCAUUAAAAGAUUAGUCAUAAAAAUAAUCAACCAAAUACCAAUUGAAUUUACCUUACUCUUCUCUUCUCCCCUUUUUGUUAUAUAAAAAAAAAAUCACUAAGGAAGCUUUAAGAGAGAAAUGUUGUUAGUCCAAAAAUAAAAAUUGAAAGAUAUGAAAAC
This 77232-nucleotide long non-coding RNA is filed under the name Gossypium barbadense (sea-island cotton). Its description in RNAcentral is "long non-coding RNA (GBAR_LNC004965)". The record is from RNAcentral. Lineage: Eukaryota; Viridiplantae; Streptophyta; Magnoliopsida; Malvales; Malvaceae.